UUUCUAUCUUCUCUCAUGCUUUUUCAGUCAACAUAUUAGCUCCAUGCUUUUCUUUUGCCUUUCUAUUCUCCCAACAACCCCAAACUUGAACCUUUAUUAAUAGCAUUCAAUUAUUCUCAACUCAACUCAAGGUAAAGAUUUUUCUCAAGAAGGUUUUCAAAGUGUUUCAGGAUAAGGUUCAAAAAGGGUAUAAAACAUUGUUAUCUUUACUUUGGGUGUUAAUUUGGCUAAAUAAGGGCUUCCAAAAAUGGCCUUGAUCAUAUGACACAAACAUGUAAUUCAAUCAAUCAUAAAGACUCAGGCAAAAUCAUUCAUGCUCUCAAAUGAAUAACAAUUAUAUCAAUCAAGAACUCUGGAGCCCAAGACCUCACACAACUAUGCUCCCUCAACAACUCAAAUACCAAUCAUACACCCUGCUUAGCAUCAUCAUCACAAUCAUAACUCAUCAUGCAUCUGUUCACACAGCUUGUGAAUAAUUCACCUGUAUAAAAGCAUGUAAAGCAAUCUCAAUUAUCAUCCACAUUAAAAAUCAUCAAGCACACUCAUCAUCCAAUCAACAAGUCAAACCAUUAUCAAAUAAGGUGUUCAAGCAAGUUCCAUAAAACCUACACUACUCAACAGAAUUCAACUGAUUCUAAAAGUUCGAAUUACAAAGGAAAAAGAAAAAUAAAACCCUGUUCCACUACAACCGGCAUCCAUCAGUAAAUGCCAUAUCAACCCAUGUUGUCAUCAGAGUCAUCAUCAUCUCCAGCCUCUACAUCCUCGAAGUCAUCAUCCUCCUCAUCAUCAUCCAUGACUGGAGCUUCAGCUGCUUGUUGACGGAUUGGCAAGCGUAGUAAAUCGUUCAAGUAAUAUAAUUGGUAAAACCCAAUGUCGUUCUUCCCAAGAGACUCGAAAGGCUUUCUCGUUCACGUGAAUUAAAAUAAUAUGACUUGAAAAUAAAAAUUAAUAAAUUGGGUAAGAGAAUAAAAUAUGAACAUGUAAAAGAGAUUGAUUCAAAUGACAAGAAGAAAACAAUGGAUGAAUAGAGUUGUUGGGGGUUUACAAUUUCAUCUCAAUCCGCUCUCUCUUAUCUACUCCUCUUGAAUUAUUAGCUUGAUUAAUUAAUUGUCAUGCAACUUUCUUAGCCUACCCUUAACCCGAUCCCUCGGCGAAAAGAGCCUAAUAUUAAUUACUGGCUUGUGCUGACGGAUUGGCAAGUGUACCAAAUCGUACAAGUAAUAUAAAUGGUAAGACCAAGUAUCGUUUUCCCAAGAGACUUGUAUGGCUUCCUCGUUCGCGUGAAUUAAAAUAAUAAGACUUGAGAAAUUAAAAUUUAUAAAUUGGGUUUGAGAGCAAAAAUAUUAACAUGCAAAAUAAAUGUUGAUUCAAUUGACAAGUGAAAACAAUGGAUGGAUGGAUGUUGUUGGGUACUAACAAUUUCAUCUAUUCCACUCUCUCUUACAUACUACCCUUGAUUAUUAGAAUGAUUCCAUUGUUAUGCGACUUUCUUAGCCUCCCCUUAACCCGAUCCCUUGGCGAAAAGGGCCUAAUAUCAAUUACCGGCUUGCUAUCCCUAGCCUCCCCUAGUAAUUAAUACCGCAUUAUAAACAGAUGUUAGCACAAUUGAUCGUCCUACCCCUAUCCCUAGGUGGUAUUGCAGAAUCAAGAGAUUACUCACCAGUUCAUGUCAUUACCGCACGUCCCCAUGUCAAUAACGACAAACAACGAUAUACCGAAUGAGUUAAACGGUAAAAGCUUUAAGCACAAAUGAUAACCCAACAAGAAUCAAUCAAAACAUAUGGAGACCAUAUAAAUAAUCAAUAGUUUCAAUAAGAGAGAGUAUCAAAAGAUUACAUUGAAUUCCCCAACAACAAUAGGGUUUAGUUCACCAUAGACAUGGUGAAACUAGAUGACAAAUGGAAGAAGAAUGAAAGAGCAAACCCUAGAAAAGAUGAAAAGAAGCCUAAGCAUCCAAGAGAUCCUCUCCAGAGAGCAAAAUUAGGUCUGGUCGUCUUCCCUUGUCAAAAGAAUGACUCUGAAUUCGUAGUAGGGGUAUUUAUAGGUGAGGAGCGCGUCAAAAUCAGGCCCAAGUCCAGAGUGCCACUGCCGGUCGGUUCAAGUGUGCCGCCCGACGGUUUCCCAUAACCUGCCGCCACCGCCCGGCGGUUUUCCUCGCCACCGCCCGGCGGCAAUCGCCAACGCCCGGCGGUUUCUCUCAGCUUGAAAUGCUGCCAACUCCUCGUCCUGGACCGCCCGGCGGUUUAAGUGUGCCACCGGGCGGUACGUCGACUCUUCAAAACUUCAUUUUUCUGUUCUUUUCUUGAGUCAACGACCUGUAUCUUCAACUCCAUUCUUCACUUUUCUCAAAUUAGCUUCGAAACAAUGCAAAACAAGCAUAAAAUCGCUAAAAAUAGCUUUUGACUCUCUCCAGACUCAUUUAUUGAGUUUUGCUUGAUUCUAAGCUCGUUCCGAGUAAUAAAGGGUGUAAUUUGGUCCAAAUUGACAUAUGAAAAUCACUGUUUUUCAACCUUCAUCAACACCCCAAACUUAGAAUUUUGCUUGUCCUCAAGCAAAACAAAACAAAACCAUCACACAAAACAAAACUUGGAUUUAUACUGUGUCAUCCAAUGCCUCAACAAUUCCAAGGUACAUGACAAAAUCACUCAAAUCAAUAUCUUUAGUGAAAUCCAAAAUAAGAUGCAUGCAUGCUUUCAAUCCAGAGAUUACACAAUAGAUGUUAUACACUAUGAAUGAUCAAUCCACUAAGCAAAAUUGUACUCAUGAAAUUUAACAAUUCAUACCAAGCAAGUGUUUCACUCAAUCACUCAAGUGUUUAAGGUGACACUCCAACUCUCUAUUGUUCACAAGUCACAUGAAACAAAAUUGUCAUUCAUCUCAAACAGUCAACAUCCUUACAUGCAAAUGCCAUCAAAAGGACUUUUCCAAUGCUUGUAUUGAGGUUGGGCUAACAAGAAAGAAUUGGUUUUUCUAGAAUGCAAAAUCCUUGAGUCAAGAGAGCUAUUAAAAUAUUCAACAAUUAAGCACAACUCUCUUCCUUACCAAUCUCUCUCAUUCCCAUCUUUUCCCUUUUCUUUUCCAUCGAGCUCUUCUUCAUGCUUUUCUUCUUUUCUUUUCUUUGUCUCGUGAAUUUUUCUUUUCACAACAUUUGAGCUCAAUGCUUUUUCACUUGCUUUUUCAACUUUCCCCCAACAACCCCAAACUUGAACCUUUUUAUCUCGUACAAUUAAGCUCAUCCCAACUCAAGGUAAAGAAUUUCAAAACAAGGGUUCACACACUGUUUAAGGCUAAGGUUCAAAAAGGGUAAAAUAAUUUUUUUAAGCAUUGUGGGUGAAAAUUUGGCUAGAGAAGGGUUUUCAAAAAUGGCCUUGAUCAUAUGACAUUCACAUGCAAUUCAAUCGAUCAUCAAGAUUAAGGCAAUAUCAUCCAUGUUUUCCUGUGAACAAUACAUGCAACAAUAAAAACUCUGGAGCUCAAAAUCUUACACACAUGCUUCCUCACACAAUUCAUUCAUACACCAUGCCUAGCAUCAUGACCACAAUCAUAAAUUCAUCACCCAUCUAUUUCCUGGAUAUCAACAUGCAUUACAACUAAAUUUUCUUUCACAUCAAAUAAUCAUCAAAAAGAUCCAUCAUGCACAUCAGUUAGUCAAACAUUUUCAGAACAAGUAAUAAAGCCAAGAAUACACACCAACAUUAAAAUUCAACCUAUUCUAGGAAUUUAAAAUGCCUGAGUGUUAGAAGAAAUUCUAGGUUGCCUCCUAGUAGCGCUUGUUUAACGUCGCGAGCCUGACCCAAACCUCAUGGAUCCACCAACAUCAUGACUAAGGCAAAUUGCUCCACAUCUCCUCCUACAUAGUGUUUGAGUCUUUGGCCAUUCACGAUCCAUCUCCUCUACUGAUCAUCUUCAGUUGAAGAUUCUAAUUCCACAGCUCCACUCUGGAAUACAUGUUUCACCAUAAAAGGUCCUGACCAUUUUGACUUCAGCUUCCCUGGGAAUAACUUUAGCCGCGAGUUGAAUAGGAGAACUAAAUCUCCUGGAUGGAAAGUUCUUUUCAUAAGUUUCUUGUCAUGAUAAAACUUCACCUUAUCUUUGUAAGUCUUGGAUGACUCGUAUGCAUGCAACCGCAUUUCUUCGAGUUCUAGCAGCUGGUUGCCUCGUUUCCAUUGAGCCUUGGCAGGAUCAAAAUUCAAAAAUUUCAAUGCCCACCAAGCUUUGUGUUCCAAUUCAACUGGGAAAUGACAUGUUUUUCCAUAGACUAACUGAAAAGGGGAUAACCCCAUAGAAGUCUUCAUGGCAGUUCUAUAUGCCCAAAGAGCAUCAUCUAACUUCUACGACCAAUCUCUUCUUGAAAAGGUGACAGUCUUUUCUAAAAUUCUUUUGAUUUCCCGGUUAGAAACUUCAGCUUGGCCAUUCGUCUGCGGAUGAUAAGGUGCAGCUACCUUGUGUUUCACCCCAUAAUGCUUAAGUACCUUAGCUAGCUGAGCAUUGCAAAAAUGAGAUCCCCCAUUACUAAUGAGGAUCUUGGGGGUGCAAAAACGCAAAAAGAUUUGUCUUUUUAAGAAUUUGAUCACAGUAUUAGCAUCAUUCUUAGGACAUGCUAAAGCUUCAACCCAUUUACUCACAUAGUCAACAGCCACCAAAAUAUAUUCAUUAUUGAAUGACGGAGGAAAUGGUCCCAUAAAAUCAAUACCCCAGCAAUCAAAGACUUCAACUUCCGAAAUUCCGUGUAGUGGCAUUUCAUGCCUCCUUGAGAUGGUUCCAGUCCUCUGGCACUUGUCACAUCUUCGAGCAUGAUUAUGAGCAUCUUUAAACAAAGUCGGCCAAUAAAAUCCUGCUUGCAGAAUUUUUGCAGCAGUGCGUUCUCCAUUAUAAUGACCCCCGUAAGGAGAAUUAUGACAAUGCCACAGAAUAUCUUCUGCUUCUGCUUCAGUAACACAUCUUCUCAACAAAUUAUUCGCUCCUAUCUUGAACAAGUACGGGUCAUCCCAGAUGAAUUGCUUGGCGUCAUAUAAAAACUUCUUUUUCUGCUGCCAAGUAAGUCCUUCUGGGAUAACUCCUGCGGCUUUAAAAUUGGGUGAAUCAGCGAACCAAGGUCUUUGCUGAAUAUACAAAAUAGUUUCAUCUGAGAAUGAUUCCCGGAUUUCUUUUUCCUUACUUGUUACUUCCUCAUUGACUAACCGGGACAGAUGAUCAGCAACUACAUUCUCACUCCCCUUUUUAUCACGAAUUUCAACGUCAAAUUCUUGUAACAAUAGUACCCAUCUAAUCAAUCUUGGCUUUGAAUCAGGUUUCUUCAGUAAAUAUUUUAUAGUUGCAUGAUCUAUAUAAAUGAUCACCUUAGAUCCAACCAGAUAUGAUCUAAAUUUCUCCAAUGAAUACACUAUAGCCAAGAAUUCCUUUUCUGUGGUGGCAUAAUUCAAUUGAGCCUCAUUCAGUACUUUGCUAGCAUAAUAAACAGCCCAUAUGGCAUAAUCGCUAGCAUCACACAUAAGUUCAAACUCUUUAUUCCAAUCAGGCGCCACCAUUGCGGGGGCAGAAAUCAGUCUCUGCUUCAAACUUUCAAAAGCUUGCAAACAUUCCGGACCCAUAACAAAUGGUGUCUCUUUAGCGAGUAAAUUGCUCAAAGGCUUUGCAACCUUUGAGAAAUCCUUGAUAAACCGUCGAUAAAAUCCUGCAUGACCAAGCAAGCUUCGGACUCCCUUAACAUUUGUUGGUGGUGGGAGUUUUUCGAUUACCUCAACCUUUGCUUUAUCAACUUCAAUCCCCUUGGCUGAAAUUUUAUGGCCAAGUACAAUACCUUCUGUCACCAUAAAAUGACAUUUUUCCCAGUUCAACACAAGAUUUGUUUGAACACAUCGAUUGAAAACUGCAUCCAAAUUAGACAAGCAUGUUUGAAAAGUAUCUCCAAUAACUGAAAAAUCAUCCAUAAAGACCUCAAUGCUCUUUUCCAUAAAAUCAGCAAAGAUUGCUUGCAUGCAUCUUUGAAAAGUAGCAGGGGCAUUACAUAAUCCAAAUGGCAUUUUUCGGUAGGCAAAAACACCAAAGGGACAGGUAAAUGUUGUUUUCUCUUAGUCAUCAGGGUCUACCACUAUUUGAUUGUAUCCCGAAUAUCCAUCAAGAAAGUAAUAAUAGGCUUGCCUUGCUAAUCUUUCCAACAUCUGGUCCAUAAAGGGUAGAGGAAAAUGAUCUUUCCAGGUGACUGUAUUUAAUCUCCUAUAGUCAAUGCACAUUCGCCAACCCGUAACUGUCCUUGUUGGAAUAAGCUCAUUUUUUUCAUUGUGAAUAACAGUCAUUCCUCCUUUCUUUGGAACUACUUGAACUGGGCUUACCCAUUUGCUAUCAGAGAUUGGAUAAAUAAUUCCUGCUUCUAGCAACUUUAAUACCUCCUUUCUCACAACUUCUUUCAUGACAGGAUUAAGCCUCCUUUGCGGUUUGGCCACAGGCUUAUAAUCAUCUUCCAUUAGAAUUCUGUGCAUACAAUAAGUUGGACUUAUACCGUUUAGAUCAGUAAUUGACCAACCGAUGGCUCCUUUAUUCUCCUUAAGAACUCCCACUAAUCUUCUUUCUUCCUCUUGAGAUAAUGAAGCACUAAUAAUGACAGGUUUUUUUUUCGGUGAUCUUCCGGGAACACAUAUUUCAGGUGUGAAGGCAGUUCCUUCAAUUCAAUCUUAUUAUUUGGAGCUUUUUUUGUACAGUCCAUCUGUUCGAAGGGCACUUUUUCUGGUGAAACUUCUUUCGCCGCCUCCAGUUCCUGUAUACAUCUCUGAUGGGCUAUAUCCUCUUCCUCAUUCAGAUCCUCACAUUCAUUUGUUAAAGUUCUUUCUAACAUGGAGACAUUACAAACUCUAUUCUCUUAAUUCAUACAGAUUUCCUCCACCAAGUCCAGCUGAAAGCAUGAAUUGUCGUCCUUGGGAUGUGACAUAGCUUGGAACACAUCAAAGUUCACCUCUUCAUCUUGUACCUGGACCUUAAGCUUCCCUUUUUCCACAUCAAUGACAAUUCUAGCGGUUUUCAUAAAUGGUCGUCCAAAAAUUAGAGGUGCAUCCCCAUUUUCUCCCAUCUCCAUAACAACAAAAUCCACUGGAAACAAGAACUUAUCAACCUUGACAAUCACAUCUUCAGCAAUCCCGAAAGGGUAUUUGAGGGACCUGUCAGCUAAUUGGAGAACCAUUCUUGUUUGUUUGAGCUCUACUCCUUUUAACUUUUUAAACAUAGUUAGAGGCAUCAAAUUUAUGUUGGCUCCAAGAUCAAUCAAGGCUUUUCCAACCUCUAGUUCGCCAAUAGCACAAGGAAUAGUGAAGCUUCCAGGAUCAGAGGAUUUAUGAGGUAAUGACCGUUGAAUGAUAGCACUGCAAUUCCCUUCUACCUCAAUUGUCUCUUUCUCAGCAUAUGCCCUCUUUUUCGUAAUGAUUUCCUUUAAAAACUUCGAAUAAGAUGGUAUUUGGUGGAUGGCUUCGGAGAAAGGAAUGGUUAUUUCUAAUUUCUUAAAAAUUUUCAUGAAACGAUCAAAUUGUCGCUGUUUAUCUUUUCUGGAGGAUAUUUUUGGGUAAGGUAGAGGUUUUCAUACUCCUUCUCUUUGAGCUUCUCAUCUUCAUCUUUCUUUUUCUCGUUCCAAAGAUUUUUUUCUUCCUUUUCUUCCCUCUGAUUCUUUUCUUCUUCUAUACUUCUUUUAUCUUCAAUCUCUCUUUCUUUUACAAUUCUUCCAUUUCUAGUAACAAUUUCAUAAGCUUCCUCCCCCUAUCAUCCUUCAUGCAUUCAUUAGUACAAACACUUGUCUUCAUAAUUCUCUGGAAAGUUUCUUCAGAUUAUGUACUUCUUUGAAUAGGGUUAAAGUGGAACAAUUGUGGAGACUAUGAAGUUUCUAUGCAUGUCUGUGAUAACUCAGCAAGUCUUCUUGUUAUUUCCUCCAGCUGCUAUGUGAUCAUAUUAUCUUGAACCAUUGAAAGUUCCUGAAUAACAUCGUUCUGCAUGUCAUGUGCUUCUUCGCUUUUCGCCACAAGUUCUAUCAAAUUAUAGGCUUAAUCUUCAGUCUUUUUAUUUAUACUUCCUCCCGCUAAAGCGUCUAUCACCAUUUUCGACUGGCGGCACAGGCCUCCCAAGAAAAUAAGCACAUAUGAAGCCUUGUCAAAUCCAUGAACCGGAGUCUUCCUAAGCUAGCCUUUAAACCUAUUCCAUGCCCUUCCAAAAGUUUCUUCUCUUCCCUGCUUGAAUGAGGAAAUCUCUAGCCUUCCUUGAUUGAUCCUUGCAAGCGAAAAAUAUUUAGAAAUGAAUUGAUGUCCCACAGCUUCCCAAGUCCUGAAGGUUCCCUCCGGGAAGGAACUCAACCAGUCUUUUGCAUUUCCUCUAAGAGAGAAAGGAAACAAACUGAGUUUAAUGCUAUCAUCUGACACUCCAAUUAUCCUCACUGUGUUGCAUAUUUCACCAAAGACUGUCAAAUGCGUGUAAGGACUCUCAUUUGACAACCCAUGGAAUUGGUUGCUCUGAACUAACUAGAUAAGUGUCGGACUCAUCACCAUGCUGGUUGUGUUGUCUGUUGGCACUGCGAUGCUGUUAAAAUUUAAGGGACCAACUGUGUUAGCUGUGUCCCCUAGAGUGCGUCUGGGAGGAGGUUGAUUGGCCACUCCUCAAGAUUUGGUUCAACGGUCUCAGGUGGAGUAACUUCUGGAGAAAGAGAUUUUCACAAAAAGGGCGUCUCUUUCUCCUCUCGUAUGGUAGACCUUCUAGCAAAGGUUGUUGGUUUUUCCUACUUCUAGUAUGUAUUGUCUCCUGCAUGCACAAGAAACACACCCUAAAAGCACUUUUAAAGAAAAAGACAAAACGCAAUAAAAGAAAAAUAAACAAAAAUAAUUACAAUCAAGUCAAAUUCAAUCAAUUCACACUACUAGAAAAAUAAACCUCGAGUCCCCGGCAACGGCGCCAAAAAAUUGUUGACGGAUUGGCAAGUGUACCAAAUCGUACAAGUAAUAUAAAUGGUAAGACCAAGUAAUGUUUUACCAAGAGACUCAUAUGGCUUCCUCGUUCGCGUGAAUUAAAAUAAUAAGACUUGAGAAAUUAAAAUUUAUAAAUUGGGUUUGAGAGCAAAAAUAUUAACAUGCAAAAUAAAUGUUGAUUCAAUUGACAAGUGAAAACAAUGGAUGGAUGAAUGUUGUUGGGUACUAACAAUUUCAUCUACUCCACUCUCUUACAUACUACCCUUGAUUAUUAGAUUGAUUCAAUUGUUAUGCGACUUUCUUAGCCUCCCCUUAACCCGAUCCCUCGGCGAAAAGGGCCUAAUAUCAAUUACCGGCUUGCUAUCCCUAGCCUCCCCUAGUAAUUAAUACCACAUUAUAAACAGAAGUUAGCGCAAUUNNUCGUCCUACCCCUAUCCCUAGGUGGUAUUGCAGAAUCAAGAGAUUACUCACCAGUUCAUGUCAUUACCNCACGUCCCCAUGUCAAUAACGACAAACAACGAUAUACCGAAUGAGUUAAACGGUAAAAGCUUUAAGCACANAUGAUAACCCAACAAGAAUNAAUCAAAACAUAUGGAGACCAUAUAAAUAAUCAAUAGUUUCAAUAAGAGAGAGUAUCAAAAGAUUACAUUGAAUUCCCCAACAACAAUAGGGUUUAGUUCACCAUAGACAUGGUGAAACUAGAUGACAAAUGGAAGAAGAAUGAAAGAGCAAACCCUAGAAAAGAUGAAAAGAAGCCUAAGCAUCCAAGAGAUCCUCUCCAGAGAGCAAAAUUAGGUCUGGUCGUCUUCCCUUGUCAAAAGAAUGACUCUGAAUUCGUAGUAGGGGUAUUUAUAGGUGAGGAGCGCGUCAAAAUCAGGCCCAAGUCCAGAGUGCCACUGCCGGUCGGUUCAAGUGUGCCGCCCGACGGUUUCCCAUAACCUGCCGCCACCGCCCGGCGGUUUUCCUCGCCACCGCCCGGCGGCAAUCGCCAACGCCCGGCGGUUUCUCUCAGCUUGAAAUGCUGCCAACUCCUCGUCCUGGACCGCCCGGCGGUUUAAGUGUGCCACCGGGCGGUACGUCGACUCUUCAAAACUUCAUUUUUCUGUUCUUUUCUUGAGUCAACGACCUGUAUCNNNNNNNNNAGAGAGCAAAAUUAGGUCUGGCCGUCUUCCCCUGUCAAAAGAAUGACUCUGAAUUCGUAGUAGGGGUAUUUAUAGGUGAGGAGCGCGUCAAAAUCAGGCCCAAGUCCAGCGUGCCACCGCCGGGUGGUUCAAGUGUGCCGCCCGGCGGUUUCCCAAACCUGCCGCCACCGCCCGACGGCAAUCGCCACCGCCCGGCGGUUUCUCUUAGCUUGAAAUGCUGCCAACUCCUCGUCCUGGACCGCCCAGCGGUUUAAGUGUGCCGCCGGGCGGAAAGUCAACUAUUCAAAACAGGCCCAAGUCCAGCGGACCACCGCCCGACGGAACAAGUAUGGCGCCCAGCGGUUUCCCAUAAACCUCCAAACCGCCCGGCGGUAAGGGUCACCGCCCGGCGGUUUCCCUCAAAACCGCCCAGCGCCAACGCCAUCGCCUACUCCUCGCCCUGCACCGCCCAGCGGUGUAAGUUGCCACCGGGCGGUGCGUCGACUCUUCAAAUCUUCAAUUUUCUUCUCUUUUCUUGAGUCUACGACCUUUAUCUUCAACUUCAUUCUUCACUUUCUCAAAAUAGCUACAAAACAAUGCAAAACAGGCAUAAUAUCACUAAAAAUAGCUUUUGACUCUCUACAGACUCAUUUAUUGAGUUUUGCUUGAUUCUAAGCUCAUUCCAACUAGCAAAGGGUGUAAUUUGGUCUAAAAUGACAUAUGAAAAUAACUGUUUUUCAACCUUCAUCACUGCUCCAGCUCCACUCCCAUGUGCCUGCUCCUGUGGCCACGUCAUAGCACUAUGAAACUCAUUCAUAGUCCACCUGUGAGUAGGUGGUGUAUCGUAUAGACUCAAUAUCAUCUCAACAGUGGCCACCUGCCCUUUGUAUAGAGACUCCAAUCUAGCCUCCAUCAUAGACAUAUACAUGUCUCUCAUUUGGAAAGGCUCUGCGUGGUGUGAUGGUUCAUCCUACUGGGCUACUCCUCUCCUAGGGCGUCUCUUAGGCAUUGGUCUAGCUGCCUCCUCUCCUCCAUAAUACUUCCUGUAAUAUGUUGCAUCAAUGGCCUUCCUAGGCCUCUCAAAUGGUGGUGUAGAGACAUUCACCCCAUCCUACUGGCACAGAUGUGUGAUCAAAGAAGAAUGACCCAGUGGUGCCUUACUGCUCAUAGUAGCGGCACAACUCUGAAUAUCAUUAGCAAUGACUUCACCAAUGUUCACAUUCAUAUUUCUCAACAUGCAAUAUAUGAACAUGAUGAUGUGAACUAUGACGUCUGACACAUGGGAGCAAGGUUGGACGUUAGCAUGAGUGAAUGCCCUCCAAUAUUUGGCAUGAGGUGCCAGGUCAGCUCUCUUGAUGUGAAUAGGCAAACCAUUCGGAUUCUUGUGGAAAUGCCCUCCAGGUACAUAGAGUACACUCUCAAUAUCCUAAUAAUCUCAGCACUCCCGCACAUUCAGUACAUACUGACACUGCUACCAACCCCUUCAGUCUCCACCCAAAUGCAAUUUCCUCAAUUCUAGACCAAAAUCAUACAAUUUAAUCGGCGCAAAAUGUUUCAAUUUCAUCAAAUCAUGCAUAGAAACCCUAAGAUGAAAAUUGUAUGACUGACUUGGGUGGAGCAACUUUGAAUGCUUGUAAAUGCUUCUUGAGUGAUGAUGGAUGGCAUUUGUUGGAAGUAUAUGAGCAUCACAUGGAUUUUGAUUGAACUAAGGCAUUUGCACAUCUUGAUUGAGAUUUUUAUGCUGAAUUGAUAAAAGUGAUUUCUUGUCUUUUAAACAGGUUGGCUUCUUUAUUUCACCAAGAGGGUGGGUGAAUUGGUGUUGUUGCAAAAACACUUUCUUUUUGCAAUCUUGAAAUCAAAGUAUAAAGCUUUUUGAAAUUUCUCGAAUUGCAAGCAAUCAGAAUAUGUAUGCAGCGGAAAUUAAGUAGUUGACUGCGUAAAGAAUAAAGUCAACUUGAAUGUAAAAGAUAAGGGAUAGAGAAAUGCAAACACAGAUUUAUAUACUGGUUCGGCCAACAAUUCCUACAUCCAGUGUCCUUCCAACCCAGGUAGAAAAUGCAUUAUAAUGGCUGCGGUUUUCACAAGAAGGAAUUUAUAGAAGACCUCCACGUCAAAAAUAUAAAUCUCCUCUCUAACCCAAAACCAAAAGAUAGCUGCACAACACAAUUAGACUUACAGCAAGAAUCCCCUCUUCUGCAAUUUGCAACACCACUUUGAACAAUCCUCAAAGUGAACUAUCCCCCUAUAUCACAACAGGUCCAAUUCCAGCAAUCUUCACAGGAUGCCAAGCCUCUCAGAAAAUUCCAGCAGUCUUCAUAGGAUGCCAAGCCUUUUAGAAAAUUCCAACAGUCUUCACAAGAUGCCAAGCCUACACGAUCAAUCACAGAAGCACCUUCUUGUGCAAAUGUUGAUCAGCCAAUGAAUGCGCAAUUAAAUCUCCUCUUUGAAUCUCUUUCAAGAAAGAUCACCGUCGUCUUCUUGGAGAAUACUUGGAGUAAAGAGAAAUCUGAAACAGAAAUAAAAUUGUCAGAUCAUCAAAAGUCUUUGAACAAACUAGUGUUCAUUCUAUUUAUAGAUUUCUGUUAAUCAGUCAGAUUCUCAGUCGAAUGUGCUACUAAUUUUUAAAAAUAUAGUCGUUAGAGUGCAAGAGCAUAACAUAAUUCCAAAUCAAACAACAAAUACAGUCGAAUAUGUAAAACACAAUGUCGACUAUCACAAUGCAAACACUUUGAAAUUCUUUUCUUCUCAAAAUAGCACAGAGCACUGAUUCUCUAAAUAUGUAUAAAGGUUUUAGCAUAGUCAAAUCCAUUAGUAAUGUAGUCGACUGUACUAGAACUUUGUAGCACAAGAAUAAGUUCGUAAAAGUGCUUGUGAUUUCUUGCUUUAAAAUAUGUGUAGUAAAACAAUGAAAUGAUGCAUAGCACACAACACAUUAAAGCAUAUACACAUGUUCCAGAAAUAUAUCAAUCAAUCAACACAAGAACAUGUAACACAGUACAUACACAUACACAUGUUCAACAGAUAUUACAGUUUAAUCAGCAUAAGAACAUGUAAUGCAACAACAACAUGUACUUGUUAUUAAGCAAUGUGUUGUCAUCAUCAAAAAAUUAGAUUGAUAUAGAAAUUGUGUUGUCAACAAUCUCAACACAACAUAUGUUUGAAAUCUACAAAUUGUAAAAAUUACACAUUAUGCACCAAUAACUAUACUGUCAUUGAGGAAUUAUUACAAACAGUUUGUAAUAUCUGCAUAGCACCUUUGAUUCGAACUAAAUCUGAAUUGUGAUUGUUUUCUAGCUUUUCUAAAUUAGAAAAUUAUUCUCUCUUGAAAGUCACAAUGCUAGAGAGUCCAAAGACUCCCUCUAGCCACCUUCCAAGGCACACUACCUUCAUUUUCCAUUUUCCAAAUCUCCAAGAGUGCCUUCUCUCUCUUCCACGCUGCAUCACAGAUCAGUCGCCACAUAUUCAGCUCCUUGCGCAUGCGUCAGUGCUUAAUUUUCCUCACAGAUCUGCGUCAUCAGAAGAAUACUCCUUCAUUUCGCACUUUCAUCAUUCGCUGAAACACACUCCCUUUGCUCUCGAGGCUUCACUUUGCUCAAGCCUUUUGCUUGUGUCUCCACCCUCAGAAUCAGGUUAUAUUUCCCACUGAUUCACCAUUCUCCUCUCAUAUCUUCAUUCCUUCUCAUUAGUUCAUCUUUUCCAUCAAUGAUCUUCCUCCAAACCUAGGGUUUUUCCCUUCCUUCAUCGUUUCUUCACAUUUUGACCGAUUAAAAACUUCUCUUUCCUUAGAUCUUCCAUUUUCACCGUUCAAAACACCAUUUCUACCGAUUAAUCGGUCCAAAUCCAGUUUCCCCUCUUUUCUAGGGUUUCAUUGUGUUCAUUUUCCAUGUCCUUCGAGUCAACUCUUUUAGAGCUUCAUAUCAACAUUCCGUUGUGUUCAUGGUCUCUUGAAGAAGCUUUGCAGGAGUCAAAUCACGUUAUCGGUCAACAUCCUUGGAGCAUUCUUCCAUCAUGAGGUAUAUUAAAAAUAUUUUUUAUAACUUUUCUACUGAUAAACUCUUGCAGGAGUUCGUGGACGGUGUUAGUUCAAUGCUUUGGGUUACCUACUUUGUGAGUUGAGGAACAGAACAGGGAUGUUGGGUGGGGAGGUUGGGUUGAGAGAGGGUAAGGAGGUUGGGUGUAAGAUGGAAGGAAGAGACGGGGGAGAGAGAGGGAGAAAAUUUGAGAAACACUGACUCAGUGUAAAAAAAAUAAAUAUCGUGUCAGUCUACCGUUAACCACAUCAGCUUGUUUUUAAAGGUGUUAGUUUUGGAGGACUAAAAUCAAAGUUUCCUUAAGGAAGAGGACUAAGAUGUACCUUACUUUGAAAGAGGGACUAAAACCAAAAACUGUUUGAUAGUAUAGGGGCUGAAGACAUAUUUACCCCAAAAAAUAUUUACAUUAUAUAAUUUAAUAUUUUUAAUUAUUAUGUAUUGUUAUUUCUUGUAUCCUAACUAAACCUUUCAUGUCAAUUCCUAUUCGACAUGAAAGUACUCGAGAAAGAAAAUAAUAUAAUACACAAUAUCAAUUCUAAAAAUAAUAUAACAAAAUAUAUAGACAUUGAAUAUUGACAUCAUAACAGUGAAGAGGAUUUUAAUUUUAUGUUCAUUUAUGUAUAUGAUUGGCAUACAUUUUGAGAGGUUUAUAUUUAAGCGGAUGAAGUGACUUACUAUGAUUUAGUUAACAAAUUUCCAUCUCUUCUUUUUCACAAUUUUUGUAUAUGUUUUUUCUUUAUUCUCAUGAGUUUUUGCUUAAUUCCUCGUAAUAUACUCUUUUCACUUCCAACGACCUUCGAUUUUUAAAAAAGUACUUUAUGCAUUUUAUCCCUAUUAAUCCGAAACUGAGUGCAUGUAUAUUGACAAAACGAAUGUGGCUAACAUAGCCCAUGCUCUCAAGUAUGGCACCCAACUCCCAUCAUUUUCUCUUGUUUUGACGUUUCCUCCAAAUUCAAUGUUAAUCUAGUGUUUUUGUUUAGGUCUAUCACCCUCCUUAUUAUAAGAAAAGACUAUUCAUGAAAUUAAAAAAAAAAAAAUCAUUUUUAUACCCAUAAUAAAUGAAUUAUUUUGCUAAAGGAAAAUACAAUUUAUAAGUUUGUAAUCAUGAGUAGUGGUGAAGUUGAUUUUGAUGAGUUCAAUCAAUUCAAACAAAUUAAGUUCAUUUGAAUAUUAGACUCGCAACCAAACAAAUUUUAUUAAAUAUUUUGUUUACAGUUUUAUGAUAAACAUAUUUCACACCCGACCUACUUUUAAUCAGAUUGAUUUGCUUAAUAUUAAAAAUACGAAAAAUUUUAAUGAACUCAAAAUAAUAGUAAAAGUUAAUUGGUUAGAAUAUCACUUUCCAUCAAAAUGGAUAAAUUAGAGUCAAACACCUCUGACAGAAUUUAAAACACAAGUUCAUACUAUUUGAAUAUAAUUGGGUCUAGCUAUGCAUUCAUGCUUGACAUAUAGUGUUGAAUGAUGAUAAAAAUGGAAGGGAGAAAGUGGAUUAUAAGUGGUUUGAACCCUCAAUUAAUAUACUAACCUUUAAUAAUAAUAAUAAUAAUAAUAAUAAUAAUAAUAAUAAUAAUAAUAAUAAUAUAAGAUCAUACAGGAGAUUUUUUAAUGGGUUAAGUCAGAUUACAUUAGUGCAAAAACGUUGUUUAACGUCACCCAUAAGACGUCGGUUUGCGUGUAAUCCGACGUAUAGGAGCGGACGGUGACAUUAUCUUAAAUAGCCUGGUAAACUAGAUGUUGGUUUUAUCCAAAAACAGACGUCUACUAAUUUCAAGACGUCAGCACUACAGCACCCCGACGUCUACUGGGCUGCAUUUAAUGCUUUUCACCUAAUUCUCAGGCGCUUAGACGUCACGUAGUCCAAAUCCGACGUCUAAGGCAUGUCUGGAAGGCGGGAAAGACAAAAAAAUCUUCAAUUUUGACGUCGGCGUUUCGGGCUACACGACGUCUAUAAUACCUGUAAUGAUUAUGUUUACAAAACUCGAGGGCCUGAGACAUAAGCUAUUUAGGGCCCCGACGUGUAUGUUAUUAUAGACGUCGGUGGCCCAUACCAACAGUCGUGAACAUCCCUGAUAGGAUAUCAAACGUCAAUCGGUUUAGCUUCCUAGACGUCGAUUCCCCCUGACAGAAACCGACGUCUAAUGGGUAUUCAAAAAGUCAGUUUUAAAUGUUCAACAGUUUUUUUCUCUCUUUUCGGCAUUCUAUUGUUGUUUCUCAUCUUCCUCCUCUCCUUUUUCUCUCUUGCUUCCCAGGUGCGUGGUUUUUUUUUUAUGCUUACAGUUUAAACUUUAUUUAGUCUUUCAUCUAUUAUCUUGUGGUUGAACUGAUUAAAAUUUGCUUUCUUUGUGUUGUUUUUUAGUGCAGUUUUGAUCCUCUCUUUGGGUAACAUAGUACAACAUUAUCCCUUUGCUGGUUUCCUCACAAGAAGAGUGGCGAUCUUUUGAGUUUUNUAUGGCUUCUCGACCCAAAAUGGAACUUGGGUCCUUGUCUAGUUCUCGUGUCACCGUAAUUUUUUUCUUUUGCGGUUGAAUAAUGGGAAGUAGUCAUGGACCAAGGUUCGGUUUUGGGUUGAAAUGUCAUAGAAGAUUCAAAAGAUGCAAGCUUUUUUUGUGGGGAAACUAGCGAGAGGAGAGUGUUGCAUUAUGCUACCGAAAGUCUGGAUCAAAACUGCACUAAAACACGAUGCCUUUGUUAGACGUCGGUUAGUGCCAGGUUCGAUGUCUAUAAGGAACAUAGACAUCGGUUGGUGUCAUUUUAAACCUCUAUAUAUUCAUGUAAACGUCAGUUUUAUGCAUAGGUGGAUGUCUAUAUAGAGAAAUUAGACGUCGGUGUGGGUAUAAGUAGAUGUCUAUAUGGACGUCGGUGUAUAUCGUUAACCGACGUUUAUAUUGACGUCGGUUAAGAGGAUUUCUGACAUCCCGUGGACGUCACCCUUAUAGACGUCUGUUGUGUAAGUGACGUUAAAAGCCCAAAUUAACCGACGUUAAACAACGUUUCUGCACUAGUGUNNNNNNNNNNNNNNNNNNNNNNNNNNNNNNNNNNNNNNNNNNNNNNNNNNNNNNNNNNNNNNNNNNNNNNNNNNNNNNNNNNNNNNNNNNNNNNNNNNNNNNNNNNNNNNNNNNNNNNNNNNNNNNNNNNNNNNNNNNNNNNNNNNNNNNNNNNNNNNNNNNNNNNNNNNNNNNNNNNNNNNNNNNNNNNNNNNNNNNNNNNNNNNNNNNNNNNNNNNNNNNNNNNNNNNNNNNNNNNNNNNNNNNNNNNNNNNNNNNNNNNNNNNNNNNNNNNNNNNNNNNNNNNNNNNNNNNNNNNNNNNNNNNNNNNAGUUAUGGACUAAGACUUUAACUAGAUAACGUUGUCCCUUAUCACUAAUGUCCAGAUUGAAAGAAGACAAUAGUGUAGACUUGGUCUUGUCACCCCUUAGACGUCGGACCACAAAAUAUCCAACAUAAAUUAUUGAUCGGUGUCAUUUUCGUAAAUAAGUUAGCCAUAUAGACGUCGGUUAGGAAGGUCCCCGAAAUCUAUAAUUUUAUAGAUGUCGGGCCCCCCUAACCGUCAUCUACGGGCCUGAGAGGUAGGUGAUUUUUCUGCCAUAUAGACGUUUGUUCCUGCCACCCCGACAUUUAUAUACGAUUAUAGACAUCGGGCCCCCCAACCCCGACGUCUAUAUGUCUGACAAGGUAGGUGAAAAGUUGACUUAGACGUUUGUUGUGGGGGAAUCGACGUCUAUAGACGUCUGUUAUGGUGGGAAUCGACUUCUAAAUACUCAGCCCAGAAAUUUAAAAUGUCACUUUUUGACUCCACUUAGACGUUUGAUCCCGCCACUCCGACUUCUAAAGCCAUUUUGUGAGGGGAACCGACGUCUAUAGAUGUCUGUUAUGGGGGGAACCGACUUCUAAAUGUCUGUAUUAUAACACUGCGAACAUGAGGCAGUAGUUACGCACACUCACUGUUUAUCAUCUUCCUCGCGUUUUCUCUCCACGGGCUACGUUUUUCAAGUUGUUUUCUCACUUUUGCACCGUUUAAAAUUAAUUUUACUCUGAUUACAAUACUCUUUGAUGAAUUAUCUUUCAUUUCAACCGAUUAAAAUGUGUUUUCAUUGGGUUUUGCUGCGGUUUUGCUUGUGUCCUUGGGUGGCGUUCUUGGGCGGUGAUUUCUUGCGUUUUGCAAUCCUUGAAUUCCCUCCACUACAUUUUUAAAACCAUCCAAUACAAAAAGAACAUACAAUCCAUUCUCUUCAACUAAAAUAUAAAGUUGUAAACUCGAAUCGCCAUGAGCCAGGAGCAACCCGAGAGGCCUUAAGUAGAGAAAGAUCGAAUCAAAUAACCAUAUUUGAAGACAAAACAAGCAAUUACACAUGACAUAAUAGUACUGGAAAGGAUGCUCAAACCAAAAAUGACUCAAACAAUACAAUUUGGACCAAAUAAAAUGAUAAAAAUUAGCAAUGACUCACAACACAGGAUGACACAAACAAGUAUAGAAUCCUAAUGAAUAGAUCAAGACGAUUUGAAUCAGAUUAACAAAUCAACACAAAUGACAGUAAAGGAAUCAUAGAACAACGAGGAACUGAAGAUAAAAAAUAAACACGACUCAGAUUCAUAAUAAAAACCGAGACAAAACAAGAUGAACUCAAAACAGAAAAGACAGAAUCAACAUAAACGCGAAUCAACGCAUACCGAAUCAGAGAAAAAAAAAUGAAACAAGACAGAUGAGCGAUACUUAUCUCUUGUAGCGUGGAAGAAUCGAAGCUCUGAUGAUCACUUGAUGGAAGAAUGCCUUGAGGAUGACACGGAUUGGAGUUGUGCGAACCUAAUUCGAAGUCCUCAAGUCUUCCUCCAGACAUGUACGCAGCAGAAUGUAGACGAAAAAUCGAAAAAUCCUAAAAAACCCUAGGAGGACCGAGAGAAGUGAGGUUGAAUGGUGAACGAACCUUGGACGGUGAGGAAAACCUAAUCAGAGGAAAUGAACUUUUAAUCGACGGAAAUGGUUUAGAUCGGAAAAACUGUUCGUUGGAGAUGAGAUUCUAGGGCUGAAAAGGCCAAAGAACGAAGUAGAAUGUGUAGAUCUGUGAUGAAAACAGGACUUACAAUGGGAGAAAUAGUUGGCGAUGAAGGUGAAACUAUGAAGUUCUCUCAAGAGAGUGAAAGAGCUGAGAGCUUUCAAGGAAAACUUGAGAUGUGGAGAUUAAUGAGAAUGAGGCGUGAAGGAUGUCACACGUGGCUGAUUCAAGAGGUGGAGGAAUAAAACGCUGACGCGUGCACGGUGGUAGAUGAUGCACGGAUGAAGUGUGCGCUAAUGUGGCUGAUGACGGUGUGUGAUGAUGAGAGAGAAGCACCAAUGAAAAAUGGAAAAUGAAAGAUGAGAGAGGUGCUUGGAAGGUGGCGAUUUUGUAACGGUGUCGAUUUUAAUAUCUAAUGUAUGUGUGUUCAGGCACGAAAGAAGUUGACGAAGUUGCUGCAAGGUGCGGUGAACCUAACGAGAAGGAGCAACAGUAGAAAAAGAAAGAUGAAAAGGGAUAUGGAUUCAUUGAUGGAAGUGAAAGAUGAAGAGGGUAAGCAGCUGGAGGAUGAAGACAUUAUAGAAUUACUUCUGGUGUUCUUGUUAGCUGGCCAUGAAAGUUCUACUCAUGGAAUAUUGUGGACUAUUAUCUACCUCUCACAACACUCACAUUUCUUCCAAAGGGCUAAGGUUUUCAUACUUCUUUUUUCUAUAUUAAUUGUUUAUCAAGGGUUUAACUAACAGAACUUUACACCUUCCAGAAAGAACAAGAAGAGAUCAUGCAAGCAAGACCCUCCACUCAGAAAGGACUGAACAUAAAGGAAAUUAGGCAAAUGGAAUAUCUUUCAAAGGUAUAUAGAUUUAUAUUGAUAUAUAUUAAGUUCUUGAAGGCAUGUAAUCUAUGUUUAUGAGGGUCUGAAUCACUAAGAUGAAGCUAUUUAAAAAAGCUAUGUUUGAGAAAACUAUAUUCUAAAUAGGUUAUCCAUGAGAUGUUGCGCAAAACAUUUAUCUCGUUUGCAAACUUUAGACAAGCAAAGGUUGACCUCAGCAUCAAUGGUUAGUUCAGUUUAGUUAUUUAGUGCCAUAUUUUUCAGUAUUUCUUACAACAUUUGAAAAUUUUCGUUCAUUACAGUACCUUAGCAUUCACGAAGAAUGAAAAAUUGCAGGUUUUACUAUACCAAAAGGAUGGAAAGUUCUAGUUUGGAACCAAGGGGUGCAUAUGGACCCCGAAACUUACAAUAAUCCAAAGCAAUUUGAUCCUUCCAGGUGGGAAGUAUAUAUGAUAUAUAGUAAUUAAUUUUGAAAAAAAAAAUGUUCUUCCACUCAUUCUUGGACAUGUGAGUUUGAUUUUGAGGAACAAAAGAUGAUAUAAAAUUAUGUAUUCUGCAUAAUCACACAGCAAGAGCAGCCUUUGUGCUUGACCCACUUGUGUGAUUAUGCGUACUUAAGUUCAUCCAAGACUGUGAAAGAAGGAAAAAGAGUGUGAAGAUGAUAUUUUGAUAGAGAUAUGAAUGCAGAGAAAGAAGUGUAAAUACCAGUAGAUAAGCAUCUAGAGAAAGAAAAAGGAGGAAGAAGAUGGGUCUGGAAGCAGAAGAGAGUUUGAGUGCAUUACUAGUGGAAGAUGGAAGGAAGGGUGGAAGAUGGAAGAAAGAGAGGAGGGAGAGAGAGGGAGAGAGAGGGAGAAAAGGUGAGAAACAAUGACUCAGUGUAAGAAAAAAAAAUUGUGUCAGUCUACCGUUACCCAGAUCUGUUGGUUUUUAUCAGUGUUAAUUUUCGAGGACUAAAAUCAAAGUUUUCUUAAGAAGGAGGACUAAAAUGUACCUUACUUUGAAAGAGCGACUAAAACCAAAACCGUGUGAUAGUAUAGGGACUAAAAUCAUAUUUCACCCAUGAUUUUUUUAAAUUUAUAAGAAUUUAUGAUAAGAAACAAUAGUGAGAAAAUUCUAUAAAUGUGAGAAGUAAAACACACAUGAAUAAGUCAAUCAAUCAAGUUCCAUUAAAAUCAAGUAUAGAUAUAAGAAAUUAGAUCAAAUCGCUAUAAGAAUUUUGUUUAUUUUAUACCCAAUAUUACCAACAACUUUAUAAUUUGUUGGUAAAUUAUAAUUUACAGACCAAUAUUAUUGAUAGAUAUUAUCGAUGAAUUUUAUAUUUAAAUUUAUUAAUAGAUACUUUUAUCAUAAAUAAAUGAGUUUGUUAAAUAUAUUGAAAAGUUUUGUUGAUACCUCACUAUCAUAAGAGAAGAAGAAAGGGAAGAUGAUGGUACUGAUAAUUGUUGAACAAGUUGGUUAGUGACGUAGAGACUAGUGAAUGAUGCUAGGGCUCGCUAGUAAUGCUCAGGUUGACAUGUGAUGAUGUAUAGGAUGGUGGUUGAUGCAAAGGUUUGCUAAUGAUGCGAAGGGUGGUACAUGAGUCAAAGCAAGUUUCUAAGUCAUUAAGGGUGUUUUUGAUAUCAAAAUUAAGUGUAAAAAUAACGUUUCUUGAACCGCUAUCACCACCCCAAACUUAGAACUUUGCUUGUUCUCAAGCAAACAAGAUGUAACUUAAUCUUCCACCAAUCAACACAAUGGUUCAAUCACAUUCCAAACCUCAUUCUUUCAAGACAAGUAAUUACUUAAAUCAGCUCAUCAACAGAAUUUAGUCAAGAUAUGCACAUGCUUUGAUUCAAUUAACUCAUCAUGGUGUUCACAAAAUCACAUAAUCUUCCAACAGAUGUUAUUCUCAUGAAUGAUCAAUUAGCUAAGCAUAGAUGCAAUCAUAGAUUCAUGGAAUUCUUCCUCACCAAAUAAAGUGUUAAACUCAAGCACUCAAAAUUGUUUCACUCAAAGGUGUAUAAAGGCCACUCGUUCACUCUACUAUCUACAUGUCACAUAGAACAAAAUGGCCUUUCAUUUACCACAAUCAAACAUACUCACACACAUAUGUCAUCACGAGCGCUUUUUCAAGGCUUAUAAUGUGGCUGAUAACGGUCUAAAAAUCGUUAUUUUCAUGCUUAAAUUUGAUAUUAAAACACUGACCGCUGAGUGGUCCAACGGCUAAAGGGCACCUGGGCGGUUGUCUGUUUUUAUUAUAGCAUAUUUUGUGAUCUUUCUGUUAUCUUUUUGGCCUAUAUAUAGGUCCAGUGCGAAUCAAAACUCAUUUCUUUUGGUAGAGAGAAACGUCCAGAGCUAUUCCACACACCUUGGAGGAGGUUCCUUGGAUGCUUAGGCUCUAAUCUACCAAGUUUAGGGUUAUUUCAUCCAUUCUUUCAUCAUAUUUCAUCUAGUUUCACCAUGGUUAUGGUGAACUAAACCCUAGGUUGUUGGGGAACAAUGUAAUCUUUUGAAACUCUCAUAUAUCCAAAUUCUUAUUUAUUUUAUAUGCUUGCAUAUGCUUGAUUUAUCAAUUGUUGGGUUCUUCACCUUUGCUUAAUGCUUUUAUCGUUUCCCUCAUUCUACUCGUCCAGCCUCUUCGCAAACUUGUACAAUCGAUGCCACAAAGAUAGUAAACUCUAUUAUCGAAGAAAUAAGGAAACGGGCGACGAUUUGGCACCAGAUAUCCGGAGGUGUGGAAAGAGCAGCUGUGAGGAGCGGAAAAACCAUCAAAAAACGACGAUUGUUCGUGAGGGUUUCCACAGAAAGACCCCUUGGUUCUGGCUUCGGUAAAUUUUGUUUAUCUAUAUUGAUACGGGGAUGUACAGUAAUGUCAUGAACUGGGAAGAAUUCCUUGAUUAAGCAAUACCACCUAGGGAUAGGGGUAGGAGGAUCAAUUGUAUUUUGCUUCCGCUUAUCAUGCAUUAUUAAUUACUAGGGGAGGCUAGGGAUAGCAAGUCGAUAAUUAGUAAUAGGCUCUUUUCACCAAGGGAUUGGGUUAAGGGUAGACUAAGAAAGUUUGCAUGACAAUAUCAUAAAUAAGCUAAUUAAAUAAGAAGAGUAGAUAUAUGAGGGUAGAUAAGAUGAAAUUGUAAACCCCAAAAACUCCAUUCAUCCAUAGUUUCUUAAAGCCAAUUGAAUCAUUGCAUUUGCAUGUUUACUUUUGUUCUUUGCAUUAACACUUCAACUUAAUUCUUUUCUCAAGUCUUACGCGAUUAGUUUACAUGAAAAGUAAGGCCUAAGAGUCCUUUGGGAAACGAUACUUGGACUUACCCAUUUAUAUUACUUUAUAACGAUCCGGUACACUUGCCAGGGACAUAACAGUGGCUUGGGCUAACAAAAAAAAUUGGUUUUUCUAGAUCACAAAACCCUUGAGUUAAGAGAGUUAUUUAUACAUUCAUAAUUCAAGCACAAACUCUCUUUAACCAAUCAAUCUCAUUCCCAACUUUCCCCCUUUUUUUCAUUGAGCUUAUCUUUCUUUCAUUCUAUCUUUUUCAUCUUUUUCUAUCUUUUUCACUUUUGCUCAACACAUUAGCUUAAUGCUUUCUCUUUCUUUUUCAACUUUCCCCAACAACCCUAAACUUGAACCUUUAUCAAUACCACACAAUAAUUAUCAACUUAACUCAAGGUAAAGAUUUUCAAAAAGGUUUUCAAUAGUAUUUAAGGCUCAGGUUCAAAAAGGGUAGAACACAUUGUGCUCUUUUUAAUUGGGACGAAAAUUUAUGCAUUGGCUAAGAAAGGGUUUAAUCAAAAAUGGCCUUGAUCGUAUGACACAUACAUGCAAUUCAAUCAAUCAUAUAAAAUUGGGCAAAAUCAUUCAUGUUUUCAAAUAGAUAGCAAUCAUACAAUCAAAAACUUUGGAGUUCAAAACCUCACUCAUAGGCUCAAUCAUUAUUCCAAAUAUUCUAGAUAAACAUCCUGCUUAGCAUCAUAAUCACAAACACAAAAUCACAAUGCAUUAAUUCAAAUUACAAAAACAAAACAAAAGAUAAGAAAAUCCUAGGUUGCCUCCCAGUAAGCACUCGUUUAACGUCACGAGCCUGACUUGAAAUCUUUCUAGCACCCAUCAGUAAGUGCAAUCCUUACCAACACCCAUCAGUAGGUGUACCUUCCUGUAUCCUUCAGUAGAUACUUAAACUUUCUAGCAUUCCUCAGUAGAUGCUAUCCUAGUAGCAUUCAUCAGUAAAUGUUGUCAGUGACAUUCACCAGUAGACGUCUAUAAACAUAGCAUCUGCCAGUAGAUGUUAAUCUUUCUUAUCUUCAUUGGUAUCACUCAGUAGACACCAAUCCUUCUCAUCUUCUUUGGCAUCCAUCAGUAGAUGUUGUAGAAGUAUCCAUCGUUAUAUGUUAUCAUCACUACCAUUAGAAGCAGUAUUUAACCUAAAAAUAAACUUAAACACACAAAGAAAAAUCAAAUCCAAAUCACACAAAUAAUCAAUUAAAAAGAAAAAGUUAGAAACUGGGUUGCCUCCCAGCAAGCGCUCUUUUAACGUCAUUUGCUUGACCAGGUAAAGCUCAAACACCCAUCAGUAGGUGUUGAUAUUUUAUGUUGGUGUUCUUCCUUCCUUCAUGACACCAACAAAAUCUCAGAAAUUUCCUUGUCACCACUCUAAGGAUCCUCAAUCUCAAGAGCUUUGUUUGCUUUUAUAAUCUUGACAACCCAUAACCUAUUCUCGAAUUUCACUGGUAUGCCAGGUUUGGGUUUGUGAACCAAUUCUCCUUUCUUGUCUGCCUCCUGAUGAUCUUGUUCUCCUAAUAAAAAUUUUAUCCUGCAUACUGUUAAGCCCCUGGCAAGUGUACCAGAUCGUUAUCAAGUAAUAUAAACGGUAAGACCGAGUAUCAUUCUCCCAAAGGACUCACUGGCCUAAACGUUCGUGUGAUUUGAUUUUAUAAGACUUAAAAGAAAAAUAAAUUGAUAGUGUUGAUGCAAAAACAAAAUUUAAACAUACAGAUGCAGAGUUGAAUCAGUUGGCAAGAAAGACUAUGAAUUAAUGAAGUUGUUGGGGUUUACAAUUUCAUCUUUUUCCACUCUCUUAUAUCUACUAUUCUUGUUAAAUUCGCUUUAUUAUCAAUGUCAUGCAGUUAUCUAAUCUACUCAAAACCUGAUUCCUCGGUGAAGAGAGCCUAUAAUUACUAGUCCAUCAUUCCUAGUCUCCCUAAGUAACCAAUAAAGCAUGAAAAACAUAAGUUUAAAGCAAUUGGCCAUCCUACUCCUAUUCCUAGGUAGUAUUGCUUAACCACGAGAAUUCCUAUCAGUUCGAGACUUCCCCAUACGUCCCCAUAUCGGCAAAAUCAAGGAUCAAUACAACAAAGGAGUUAAACGAUGCAAGCAUGAUAAUCGGAUAAGAAAACUUAAACUAUUGAUAAUACAAGCAUAUGCAAGCAUAUGAAUAAAACAAGAAUUUCGAUAUAAGAGAGUUUUAAAAGAUUACAUUAUUCCCCAACAAUAAUGGGCUUAGUUCACCAUAAACACGGUGAAACUAGAUGAAAUAAAUGAAAAGAAUGGAAGAAUAAACCCUAGAUUUGGUGAUUUGGAGCUCCCGCAUCCAAAAACUGCCUCCAAGGAGUGAAGAAGAGCUUUGGACGUCUCUGAUUGCCAAAAGAUUACUUUUGAAAUCACACUAGGUCUAUUUAUAGGCCAAAAAAGUAACAGAAUUUCGGCCCAGGCCCACUCAUUUAGGUGCUCAGCGGUACCUAACGCUUAGCGGUGGUGACGCUGGACGCUCAAUGGUUCUUGACGCUCAGCGGUCUGCGUCUUGGACGCCCAGCGCUAGGUUAGCACUGGGCGGUGGUCGCAGCACCUCUUUUUCAUCUUUUCUUGCCCUUUUUUUGUUCCAAGUCCUUCCUUCUUCAUCUUCAUCAUUCAACUUUCGUAAAAUAUUGUCAAAACAAUGUAAAACCAAGCAUAAUAUCUCUAAAAACCAAUUUUGACUCUCUUGUUCACUAACUUAAUCAAAAUGCAUGAUUUCAAGCUAAUUCUAGGUCAUAAAGGUUGUGUUUUGAUAACAAAUUAAUGUAUAAAAAUAACGAUUUUUAGACCGUUAUCACAUACACUAAAGAACACUACACUAGAGCAUACAAUUAGCCCACAAAAUAAAAACAAUAAAAGAUGUUUUUUUCUCUUUUUUUUUUAGAAAGAUAAAGAUAGAGAGAUAAAAAUAAAAAGAUAGAAAGAUAGAUAGAAAAAGAGAUAGAAAGAUAGAAAGAUAGAUAGAAAGAUAGAGAGAUAGAAAGAAAGAAAGAUAGAAAGAUAGAAAGUUUAAUCGGUUAAGAACCACAAGAUAGAAUGUCCAGUCUCCUUAGUAAUUAGUCAUGCAUUUUAGUGCACAGAAGCUUAAGAAAAUUGAUUGUCCUAUUCUUAUGUCUAGGUAAUAUUGUUAAUCAAGAUAAUUCCCUAGAUCGUGAUUUGUAGAUAUCUCAUGAUACCAGUCUUAGGGAAAGAAGAGGAGAGCUAUCACCUUCCCCAAAUCCACCAACCCUAAGAGUGUGAUAUCUCCUCAUGAUACUUACAAAUCAUAAGAUUUAUGCCAAGCAUUUGAGUAAACAAUAAUAUCACUAACAAUUAAUGAAAGAAGCAUAUAUCAAUAACAAGAACCAAUUCAAAUACAAGAGAGUUUAGAGGUUACAUCUUUCCCCAAUAACAUAUGAGAUUAGUCCUUCAUCGUCAUGGAGAAACAAUGUGUACAAUGGAAUGGAAGAGAUAGAAACCCUAGAAAAGGAGAGUUGUCAAAUCCCCAAAUUUGCCCUCAAAGGGGUGAAAAGUGUGUUUUUGUGCCUAAGCCAUCAAAAGAUACAUUCUCUAAGACGUUUUGGCCUUUAAAUAGGGUAGAAAAAUAACAGAAAACGGGUGCAGGCCCAAAACAGAUUAUAAAAAUAACAGAAAACUGGCCCAAAACUUGCGUCGUCGGCGCUCAACGCUAUAGUACCACUCAACGGUAGGUGUGGCACUUAGAAUGGCCCCCAACGAUGUCGCCCAGGCGAAAAAUAGUGAAAAACUAGUCCUGAGACUAGCGCUCAGCGCUAGCCUGUCACUCAACACCACCUGCGCUUCUGAAAAACUACACUCUGCUUAACUUUUCAGCAUUUUGAUUGACUAGUUGACUUUUCUGGUUGACUUUUCUUAUUGACCGGUUGACUUUCCUACACUGCAACUCCUUAAUACUUCAACCCUUCCAUCAAAUCAUUCCAAUAACCUACAAAAUCAAGGGAAUUUAGUGAUAAAAUCAUCAAGUAUAACCUCAACUCUCUUAUUCAAAAACUAAAGCAAAAACAUGAGUCAUAGCAAGUUUAUAAGUCAUUAAGGGUGUUUUUGAUAUCAAAAUUAUGUGUAAAAGUAAUGGUUUUUGAACUGUUAUCAUAUAUCAAUGAUCAGACGCAUGAUCUUUGACACAAAAAAAAACCCGAGAUGCUUGAUGUACCAUGAUAAACGAUUCGUCUCGAUAAUGCACCUUUCGAAAAUCAACUAGUGUCAUACCCGAUUCAUCUAUUUUCACACCACUCUUAUUAUCAAACGACUUCAUUUUAACAAUGGAACAGAAAACUUGGUGUAAUCAACUCCCAUAUCUCUUAUAUUAUACCAUAAUAUCUCAUUGAUCCAAGUAUAAGAUUUUGAUCUUUUGAUGUGGAAAAUUGGAGUGACUCAGCUUCUAGACUUACUCCAUUAUUUUGUACUAUGCUUUUAUCAUCCAAAGUCUUUAUAUAUAUAUGCAAUUAUUGAUUUCAUAACUUGUACAACAUACGACAUCAAACUUUAAACCAUUUGCAAGCCACAACAAAGUCUGAUAAGAAUGUGGCUCUUUGUCAAUUUCAUAUUUGAACCAAGACAUAAAUGUUGUGUUAUGUUGCAUCAACUGUCAUUUCUCUUAUUGUCUUGGAUUUUUAUUCUUCACAAUGGCUUUGUGUGCUUGCAAAAAAGGGAUCACCUCAUCUAUGUCGUUCAAUAUAUAAAGAUGUGCUUGCGACAAUUUUUCACGAUUGGUACUUAGAUUACCAAAUGGGUUUAUUCCAUCAGUGGCUAAAUCAAGCCUAAGAUUUCUACAUUCUUGACCAAAUUGGGGAAAUUGUUGAUCAAUAUUUUUCCAUUUCUUUGAAUCACCUGGAUGACGAAGCAACCCGUCAAUUUUUCUCUCAUCUGCAUGCCAUUUAAAGUUUUUAGCAUCUUUUGGAUUCUCAAAAAAACGCUUAAGUUUGGGCAUAAUUGGAAGGUACCAAACUACUUUUAAAGCAGAUCCAUUUUUUUAUAUCUGACCAUUAUCUUCAUUAUUGUUUUUUAACUUGUAUCAUGAUAACCCACAUUUUGGACACUUAUUCAAAAAUUCAAACUCUUUCCUAUAUAGAAUGCAGUCAUUGUGACAAACAUGUAUCCUUUUAUACUUCAUACCCAUCGGACAAAGAAUUUUCUUCACAUCAUAAUUACGAAUGGGUAGUGUAUUUCCAUCUGACAGCAUUUCAUUCAACAACGUCAACAAUUCUGUGAAACUCUUAUCGGUCCAUCCAUUGGUCGCCGUCAAAUUCAUAAGCCUUAACACCGUUGACAACCGUGUGAACUUAGUUGCACCGACAUACAAAGGUGUUUCCAUAUCAGUCGACCUCGUUUCAUACACAUGACCUUUGGCAAAAAAUUUUGCGCCAACAUCGCGGAUCAUUUCCUCCAAUUUGUCUUUAUCCGAUCGAUCUUCUUCCAUGGUGGAAUCAAUAACAUUUUCAGUUUGGGAGACAGUCGAAAAGUGUAUUUCUUCGUCGUGCCAUAUCUAUGUUGUAUAGCAUCGUAGGAAACGAUCACAGAUAAGAUAUUCCCUAAUUUGGCUUGCGUUCAACUUUCUCCCAUUCAAACAGUUCACACAAGGACAUCUAAACUUCAAUUCAUCAUCACUUCUACCCUCAUUAUGUUGCGCAAAUUGUAUAAAUUCCUCUACCGCUCUCUCGUACUCAGCACUAAUGCGUGAUAAAUUAAUCCAAUUUCUAUCCAUACGAUCCAUGUGUAAAUAUUUUGAAAUAUUCUACAAAAUUACAAUACAAAAAAUGAUUUUGUAUUGAUCAUUUAACGACAAAUUAUGGUUAAUUCAAUUCAAUCAUACAAUCAUAAAAUUGAUAAGCAUAGUACACCACCACAAAGGCAAGAACAAGACAGGAAUUUCUACAGGAAACAACACUGGAAGCCUAACUCUUUCUUAUCUCAAACAUUCAGAAAACAUGAUUGGGCAAAAAACAUGAGGAGAAAAGCUCUCUAGUUACAUGCAACCAGCAAAGUUGCAUGCCCUAGCUUCAAGAACAAUGAAAGAAAAAAGGAAAGUUACUUACCAGUCGGAAUAGAGAAAGUCACUAGUGCAGAAAGGUCUUUAGACGUCUGUUAUUUUGGGCUUUUAAUGUCUUUUUCACAACUGACGUCAUUACGGGUGACGUUAAUGGGGCGUCAAAUUUGCAUAUAACAGAUGUAUAUAUAGACGUCAAUUAGUGCCAUGCCCGACGUCAAUAGAUGUCGGUUGAGGCCUACUCCAACGUCUAAGAGCACCAUAUAGACGUCGGUGUGGGAACCAACCGAUGUCUAAGAGCACUAUAAAGACUUCGAACAUGUCACUAACCGAUGUCUAAGGUCACUAUAGACGUCGGUGUAUGCAUUAACCGAUGUCUAAUAUAGUCGUUGUGUUUUAGUGCAGUUUUGUUCCUGUCUUUGGAUAGCCUAGUAGCACACUCUGUCUUUGCUAGUUUCCCCCAAAAAAAAGCUUGCGUCAUUUGAAUUUCUCAUGACAUUUCAACCUAAAACCGAACCUGGGUUCUUGCCUAGUUCCAUUUUCAACCGCAGGAGGGAAAAAUUACAGUGAAACGAUAACUAGGCAACGACCCAGGGUCGUUUUUGGGUCGAAACAGUAUAAGAUAUCCAAAAGACGCCACUUUUUUCUGGGAGGCAGCUAGCAAAGGCAGAAUGUGGUACUACAUUAGCCCAAGAGAGGAACAAAACUGCACUAAAACACAAUGAUGAAGGUUGAAAAACAGUUAUUUUCAUAUGUCAUUUUAGACCAAAUUACUACCUUUACUGCUUAGAAUGAGCUUAUAAUCUAGCAAAACUUGAUAAAUGAUUCUGUAGAGAGUCAAAAGCUAUUUUUAGAGAUAUUAUGCUUGUUUUGCAUUGUUUUGUAGCAUUUUUGAUAAAGUGAAGAAUGGAGUUGAAGAUGAAGGUCGUAGACUCAAGAAAAGGGAAUAAAACUGAAGAAAUGAAGAGUCAACGUACUGCCCGGCGGCAAAUUACACCGCUGGGCGGUCCAGUGCGAGGAGUAGGCACCUGGCGUGGGCGGUGGGUGGAUUUGCAAUUAGAGGCAAACCAACGGGCGGUAGACCCCUACCGCCAGGCGGUAGACCCCUGCCGCCGGGCGGUAGUGCGGCUUGAGGGAAAUCGCCGGGCGGAACAAGUGUGACGUCCAGCGGUUGUCUAUUGGGCUUGGGCCUGCUUUCAGUUGUGUUCCUCACUUAUAAAUAGCCCUAGUGCGAGUUUAGAUGUAUUAUUUUGACAGAAGGGGGCGGCCAGACCUAAUUUCACUCUCUGGAGAGGAUCUCUUGGAUGCUUAGGCUCCAUUUCUUCUUAUCUAGGGUUUGCUUUUCCAUUCUUCAUCCAUUUUUCAUCUAGAUUCACCAUGACAAUGGUGAACUAAACCCUAUUGUUGUUGGGGGAAACAAUGUAAUCUUUUGAUACUCUCUUUUAUUGAAACUCUUGUUUAUUUAUAUGAUUUUCAUAUGCGUUGAUUAUUAAUUGUUGGGUUCUCAUCUGUGCUUAAUGCUUUUAUCGUUUAACUCAUUCAAUAACUGUUGUUUGUCUUUAUUGAUACGGGGACGUACAGUAAUGUCAUGAACUGGUGAGUAAUUCCUUGAUUAAGCAAUACCACCUAGGGAUAGGGGUAGGACGAUCAAUUGUUUUUCACUUCUGCUCUAUAAUGCUUUAUUAAUUGCUAGGGGAGGCUAGGAAUAGCAAGCCAGUAAUUAGUAAUAGGCUCUUUUCGCCGAGGGAUCAGGUUAAGGGUAGGCUAAGAAAGUUGGAUAAUAAUUAGUUAAUCAAGCAAAUAAAUCAAGAGGAGUAAAUAAGAGAGAGCGGAUAAGAUGAAAUUGUAAACCCCCAACAACUCCAUUCAUCCAUUGUUUUCUUCUCGUCAAUUGAAUCAAUCUCUUUUGCAUGUUUAUAGUUUGUUCUCAUACCCAAUUAACUAAUUUUUAUUUUCAAGUCUUACGAUCUUAAUUCACACGAACGAUAAGGCCUUUCAAGUCUCUUGGGAAAACGAUACUUGGACUUACCAUUUAUUAUUACUUGAUACGAUUUGGUACGCUUGCCAAUCCGUUAACACAAAACACAAGGAAAACACAUUUUAAUCAGUUGAAUCAGAAGAUAAUCGAUGAAAGACUAAUAUAAUCAGACUGAAACAAAGUUUAAACGGUUUAAAUAAAAAAAAGAUGCACCUGGAAUGCAAUGCCGCAAGAGAGAAAAAGGAGAGGAGGAAGACGAUGAUGUUUGCGUAACUGCGAGUCUAUGGUUUAUUUAACAUGAAUUUAGGCGUCGGUGGCUACAGAAACCGACGUCUAUAGUCAGCUAGACGUUGUUUAUCUCACUAAUGUGACGUCCAAGAUAACUUUUAAUCUUCCUUUUGCAUGCACCUUAGACGUCGGACACAAGGGGCUCCGACGUCUACGACGCUGAUCGAAAUGACUUUUCAAUUCCGGACAAGGAAGUAGACGAUGGUUGUCUUGGGGCACUGACGUCUAUAACAUUUUAGACAUCGGCCCCCUACUACUAGACCUCGAAGUGCCUGCGAGUAUGGUGAGUGGCAUUAAUUACUGUCACAAAGAUGUCGUUCCCCCGGAAACCAAACAUAUAUAUUACAGAAAUUGAAUGUCUUCCUGCCUUCCUGUCAGGCCCAUUGACGUCAUGUUAAGGGAGCAUAGACGUCUAUAACAUUAUAGACGUCGAUUAUUUAUUACGUGACAUCUAAGUGCCUAAGAAUCGGGUGAAGAGUAUUAAUUGCAGCUAGAUAGACGUUUCCCCCCCCCCUCACAACCAACGUCAAUGGGGUAGAAAAGACUGUCUUCUCGCCUACCUGUCAGGCCCUUGGACGUCUGGUUAGGGUAGAAUAGACGUCUACUAAAUUAUAGACAUCGUUUGUCCUAGAAACCGACGUCUUGGUUACAACUUAUUUACGGUAAUGCCACUGUCCAUUAAUAUACGUCGAGCCACCCGUUAACCGACAUCUUGUCGGUGACAUUAAACAUUGUUUUUGCACUAGUAAGUGAUCGGUCUAAAAUGUAGCCCUCUACGCGGUGAACGCUUGAGCACCUUCAGAUUGAAGAUUGAACGGUUCAGUGAACUGAUAUUUUAGAGAGAAGGCAGAGUAAAUUUAGGGAAAAUAAGAGUUCCAGAGAGAGAGGGUUUAAGCUUAAUGAACUCGGACUUUGGGAUACUCUUUCUAAAGUCAAUGUGCCUCAAUGUUUAAAGCCCGGGUACCUCACACAAAUCCCAAUAUCCAUUGGCCCAAUUUUCAGGUCUUCACAAGAAACACUAAUAAUUUAAUAUCAAUUUUGAAACAACAUGAAAAACUCAUAAUUUAGUAUUGAUGUUAUUUAACGGAUGUGAAAAAUCUAAUAUAUAAAUGUUGGGUGUACUAUAAUAGAUGUUAAAUGUAUUGUUGUGCUUCAUAUCUUACAUUGAGUAUGGAAUAACUAACACAUAAAGUAGGGGUUUUUAAAUAUGCUUUUUAUUUUAGGAGAAUUUACUAAAAAAUAAAAGGUGUAAUGGUGAUUAUUUUUCUAAUAUAUAAUGUCAUUUAUAACCAUCGUUGUUUACAUAUCUUUCGGUUCUCCCAUACUACCAAGCCUUACAUAUCUCAACCACUUUCUCUAUGCCAGAAUUAGCCACUGCUAUUGUAAAUUUUGCUCAAAUCUUUUCGUGCAGCAUUUUAUCAUUCUAUAAAUUAACAUCAUCACAUAACAUAAGAGAGAACACAUAUACAUCAUUGAAAAUGCAAGUAUUUUGCUUUAUAUUCAUAUGUUUGAUGAAAUCUUUUCAUCACAGACAUUUGCAAUUUUCGUAAUGUGCACUAGUACAAUUAAAGGAUUAGGUACCGGUUAUAUUGAGUCAUAGACAUCGGUUUGAGAACUGAGUCAUAUGUAGACGAGGUAGAUAGUUAGUAAGAUUUGUCUCGGCUCUGUUUAACCAAAGCAGUAUUCAGGAUUCGACUCGUUUCACUUUAAACCGAGGCAGUAUCAGGUCUUCCAGAUUUUCAGAUUUCCAGAUUGGGUAUCCUUCGCGAAUGUCAUCCCCUGGAACCAAAAAUGGAAGCAGGGAGAUCUCGUUCCGCUCAAAUCCUCACUAGUCAAGGAAGACCUUCCGCUUAGUUAGGACUCUCUUUCAGGGAGACUCAUUGAUCUUAUAGGAAGCAGAAAUGGUUGGAGACAUGAAAUUCUUUGAGCACUUUGAGCAAACAGCUAGAGAUCGAACCUUCAUAGGUUUCAAAAUUUGAUCUUUCCCAUUUUCUUUAUCAUCCAAGGAGUCUAGAAAAAUCUGCAGGAUACCAACAAAACCUCUUCUAUAAAAAUAUGCAAAAUACUUGGAGGAGAACCAUGGCGACGGCGUAAUUGGAGGGUAGGGAGAGAUUGGAGAGGGCGAUAUGAGCCUCCAUGUGCGAACACUGAACGGAAGCCCUAAAUCAGAAUCGCGUCAUUGCUUGCCUCCACCUGCAACCACAAUCAGACCUGCAGAAAUCAGAUUUAAUCCGCGGUGGCUGGAAACCCUAAAUCGGAAGCCCUAAAUCAAAAUGGAAGAAGGUUGAAACACGGUGACUGGCGCGACAGUGGAGAAGAGGGGUAUGGAUAUGUCUGAGUUUUCCUCUUUGCAAGUACUUGCGUGCGCGAGGAGGACGAAGGUUGCGUUCUUCGAUUGACGGCCAUGGAUGUUCUCAUGGCGGAGAAGAUGAAGGUGGUGGUCGCGGCGUCCAUGGAGUUUGGACGAGAAAGAAGGUGUUGUGGUGGCGGCUUUGGGUGGCGGCUUGCGAGUUUGCGCAUGGUGGUCGGUGGCGUGCGGGUUUGCGCAUGGUAGCCGGCGGCGUGGUUGAACGAUGGUGCUUUGCAGCAACCCUAAUGGGUGUUGAUGGUGGCGCCCUAAUGCUGGGGUGUGGUGGAGAGGAGAAAUCGCGAUGAGGCUGAGGGAGGCAAAGAUGAGAGAGAAAUCACGAGAGUGCCUAAGGGCUAUUUUAUGGUGGGGCCUGACAGCUUUUUUGAUUUUAACCUAAGGCUAUUAACUCGGUUAUAUUUAAAACUGGUGCGUAAACCCUUUAACUGCAUCAGUUCCAUAGCAAACCAGUGUCUAAACUAUUUAAAAUUCAUAUUACAUGCCUCGAUUGGUCUUUUACUCGAGAUACUAGCAUCUAUAGGCAUCGAUUCCUAUAUAACCGAAGUAUAUAACCACUCAAUAUUUACAGAAAUGCCACCACACUUUCAUACGCUUCGGUCAUAGUAAAACCAAAACAUAUAUAAAACGAGUUAAUAAAGUUUUUUUUUACUAGUAGUAUUUCAUAUUUUUGUUUUUAAUCUCAGUAUAAUCUUUAAUUUUAUUAUAAAAAUUGAUAUUGUCUGUUUCAUUAAAUUAAUCCUAACAUACUUUAAAUAAUAAUAUAUGAUAAUAUAAAUGACACAUAAAUUGUCCAAUAUAAAUAAAUUAUCGUACGUAAAUACCACAUAUAAUUUCAUUAUUAUAUUGUUUUGAGAAUGACAAUAGUAUAAAUAACACGUAUAGAUACACGUGGCAUUGUUGAAUAUAGAUAAAUUGUUCAAGAGGACAUCAACUUUUUUUACUAUACAACUUAUUUAUACUAUCAGAUUGGCACCUCUAAAUUAUAUCAAUAUAAAUUAAGGGACUAUGUAUAAUCUUUUUAAUAAAAUUGACAAUUACUAUGUGAUAGAAAAGAAAAAAAAUUUAAUGAUCAUAUUAAAUAAUUCUAAAAAUAAUGGGAAAAGAAACUUAAACAUAAUUUAUUCCAUUUCAUUUUUAUAGAAGGAAAAGAAUAGUACUUUUACUUGUAAUUAAGUAACAAUGAGAUUAUCAUACACAUAAAAAUAAAAGAUUAAAAGUUAUUCAUUUAAUUAAAGUGAAUAUUGAUUCAUUUUAUUGAUUUGAAAAGUCCAUUCGGUGCUGUUCUCUUCCGUAAAAGAUAGUAAACACCCAUACGUAGUUUCUAAAUCACAAAUACCAAUUUCACAUAUAUCCUUGUAUAAUAUAUAGAAUGGCUAUCGUAAUCAUGUGCAAUCCUGUACAAUAGAGAUGGGAGAUUCCUUUUUCUUAAUUUUUUUAUACCCAAAAGAAAACGUACUUCUUAAUAUAUAAAAAGAAUUCACAACAUAAAGAAGUUAAAAAUAGGGUGUGGUUGGUUAAAGAUACCUUCAAUGAAAAUUUUGUUCAAAUAAAGCAUAUAUUUCUUUGGUAAAAGAUAAAGUUUGAAAUUCAAUAAUUGAAUUUAAGGUAACAUUUGACUAAGUACAAACUUUUAUUAGGUGUCCUCUAAGGCAUAUUGAAGUGUCACUCAGCGGAUAAUAGUGCAGAAACAGUUAGCAGAGAGUAAUGCCAUACCGUAUCCCAAGUUCCUCGAGAUGUUCAACCAUUGAAUUCUCACAACCACCACCUACUCAAACGUCCAUAGAAAAACCCUAUAUAAACACCACAACCCAAAACCCUAAAACUCACUAAUUACUCAUCAUCAUCAAUCAUUUCAUCUUCAGAAGCAUUUUUCAGUUCACUUUGAAAAUGGCCAGUGUUAAGUUUGCAUGCAUGGUGGUGAUGUUCAUGGUGGUAGUGGGUUCACGCAGUGCUGAGGGAAUGACGUGUGGCCAAGUUCAGGGCAACCUAGCACAAUGCAUAGGGUUCCUUCAAAAGGGCGGUGUUGUUCCCCCAUCAUGCUGCACGGGGGUGAAGAAUAUCCUGAACAGUUCCAGAACCACCGCUGAUCGCCGAGCCGUUUGUAGCUGCUUGAAGGCUGCUGCUGGUGCAGUUCGUGGGAUCAAUCCCAAUAAUGCUGAGGCUCUCCCUGGGAAGUGUGGGGUCAACAUACCCUACAAGAUCAGCACCUCCACCAACUGUAACAGGUAUAUAUAUACUAUUUUGAGGUCUCAAGUUCACUCUUGUUUUCACUUUUUAAGUCUUUCUUACACUAUGAUAAAGUUUUAACUAAACUUAGAGUUUUAAGUCAAUUUCGAUUUGUAUGAUAAAGUUUACAUCAUGUAUAAAGUAUUGAAGGUGGUUGGUGUUUUGUUUUGUAGCAUCAAUUGAAGGGAGACAGAUUUGGAUGGAUUGGCUAAGAGAAACCAUGCUAUGCUACAUGUUAGUAAAGAGAAUAAAAGGAGGAUAGGAGUCUCCAUUUAUGGGAGCUAGUUUCUUGUUUUGUGUUCUAUAUUCCAGUGUGAAGUUUAUACACUUCCUUUGGAUGUUAUGUGAAACUUUAUAAAGUGAAUAAAAGAAGUUUGAUGUUGAAAGUUUGAUGUUCAUUGUGAAAUUUACCAAAGCUCUUAUUCGUGGUGAGAUUGAUCUAUUCUGUCACAAUGUAUUAGGUAAUUGGUAAUGGCAAUGAUAAUAUAUAAUUUGUUCAUCUGAUGCAGGACUAAUUACCUGUGAAUGUCAUUACUUAUUUUGUUGUUGAACUUAAAUCACUUUACCAAGAAAAGGUAGUCUUAAUUUUUUGUUUCUAGUUUUACAAACCUAAUAAAAUUUAUAUUAUGACAAUUUAUAAAAUUAAUAGAAAGAAUGAUUAUUAAGUAAAACAUUGUUCUUUAAAAAGAGACUUUUUUUUUAUUAUUAAUCUAUCCUUUAAAUGGAACAAAAUAAUAAAUAAUAAAAUUAUUUCAAAAACUCUUUAGUUUUUAAAAUUGAUACUUGAACUUUUUGGAACAAGUGAAAUUUAGUAAUGUUCCAUUACAUAAAUGAAAUUAAUAAUCGAUAGACCCUAUCUUUAUUAUUAAUACAAGAAAUUAGUCCUUUUUAUAGAAUCCCACUGAAUUAAACUUGCAAAUUAUUAACAGGUUUCAAUACAUUAUGAUUAAUUGAUUUUCUUAAAUAGUUUUUAUAAAUUUAAUUUCUUCUAUAAUAAAUCUUAUUUUUUAAUUUUAACAGAUUUUAAUCAACACUAGAAGAUAUACUAUUUACAUCUUGGAACACCCAAAAACCAUUUCUCUAGAGACCAAAACGAAAGAAAGCAAAGGUGAAGUUGUUGUAGGGCAAAGAGGAAUAAAGACUUGUUCUUCCAAACGCUCAUGUUUUAAAAUAAUUAUUUUACCCUUAAAUAAAGGUGACUUUUGAAUUACCAAUUCUAAAAAUUAUCAAAAAAAAACAAAUUUUCAAGAACAAAAUUUUCUUAACAUAGUUUCCAGAACAGUGUUUCUAGAAUAGAAUUUAUAAACCAGGAUUUCAAGAACAAGUUUUCUUCAAAAGGAACUUUAUAACAAGAUUUUUUGAAUAAGCUUAUCGAAUCAUGAAACAUUGUUUGGAUUCAGCUUUUCAGAACAUGAUUUCUAGAACAAAUAAACAUUUUUGGAUUCAACUUUUCAGAACAUGAUUUCUAGAACAAAUUUUGUAGAAUAUACAAAAGACAUUUCGGAACAGGCGUUUUGGAGCAAGAUUUUUGGAACAAGAUACCUUUCAGAACAGAGGUGGCUGCAUGGUGCAACAAAAAGGGUAUUUUAGUCUAUUUGCUUUCAUCAUAGAGGUACAGUUAGUAAUGGGAUGUAGGAAGAAGAACAUAGAAAUAACAGGUCCUAUCAAUUUGGGUUUUCAGACCCAACUUUUUCUUUCUUACAAAAAAUUACAGAUGCAACUUUCUCCAACCCGUUUUAUUUUGUGGGAAAAUUGACUUUUCAAAAUACAUUAAUACACCAGGGAUUUCAUAAGAAAACUAUGAACAAAAUAUUCCAAAGCUUCACUCAUUCUUUCUCAUUCCAGAAUAAUUUUUUUGAACUAUAAAAUUCAUAUUUUAAAAUACUAAUUCCAAAGUAAAGUAGUAGAAAGAGUAUAGUAAAUUAUGAAAUGCUGUAUUUCCAUAAAAAGAAUGUUUAUUUUUAAUUAUUUUUCACCUAAUGGCGAGUCAUAAAUGAGUAUUAUCCACGUGUAAAUGUGUCGGUAGAUGAGUAAUAUCGUUUUAAUAAAUAUAAAUGGAUUGUUGGUAAUUUAAAUAAGGUCAUUAUGUGAGUUAUCUAUAAACAGUAUGUUAAAUGAUCAUGAUUAAAGAAAGUUCUUUACAUGACAUGAAUAAAUAGUGUAUAAAUUCUUUUCAUCAAGUUUGAAAACAAAAAUAUUUUAUUAUGAUGUAUGACUUUUUGUACAGCAUUAAUGAGAGAUCUACCGACCUGAUAUUUUUGCAGAAUGUGUAGGACCUAUACCUAUGACUCAUGGAUAUGUAGGACCUAAACUUAUGUACAUGUUACACUUACUGACCACACAUGCCUUGCUUUCCAAAGAGGGUAGGCUAAAGUAUAAGAACAGGGUCCAUCUACCAUAACAGCAUUUAUUACUCACAUAUUCACACUCCCUGGACCAUUUCAUGGAUCUUCUACUGUUUCAGCUUUGUGCCCUAGCUUUGAAGGGCAAAGUUCUUGUUACUUCCAUUGCUAGAGACAAAAGAAUAAAAGAAUAAAAAGAAAAAGAGAAAGAAAUAGUUGGAAAAAAGGAAAUUAUUUUAAUUAAGUAUAAAUCAUGUUAUUGAAGUAUAUACAUGCAUAAAUCCACCCUGAGAUUUGUUUGUAUAAUUCAUACUUUUAAAAGGACUUUAAUUUUUGUCAUGUUUAUUUAUCAUGUGAAAUUGGCAUGUGAGUCCAAGUUAAUAUAUAUAUAUAUAUAUAUAAUCAACUAAUGAAAAAAAAAGUAGAUUUGUUGAUUGAUAGAUUACGAAUUUGUAAAAGAAAAAUAAAAAUUGUUUGAAUAGUUAUCUAAAUAUAAAAAGAAAAAAAAAAACUUUACUCAUGUGAGGAUGGUUUAACCUAAUUUUUCUUAUUAUCCUAUUAUUUUAAUGAUUUACGAUAAUUUUAGAAAGAAUAGGGAAAAUGAUUAUAAAAAAAACAACAAACAUAUAAGUUAUUUAACAUAUACUACAGGCAAAAACAACUAGAUGUAACUAUAAAUUAUAAUAGUUUGAAGUUAGAAAAACUGUAAUAUAGAUUAAUCUGUUGAUAAAUUUGCUGUCCUUUUAAAGAAAUGAUGUUGAAGGAAGCUAUCUAAAAGCAAUUUCCAAUUGUUCCCAGUUUGAGCGGGACCAAUUUAAACCGCUAUUAGUUGAACAAGUCAUUUCUUCAUUAAUUUCCUCUUCUUAUGUACAGUUGAGGUUGGUGAGUAUACUGGCCCACUGUGUAAAUAAUUUAUAGGAUUCUUUUUCACUAAAUUAUUAACAUGUAAAUUUAAAAUUAAUUUUAUUCUAUAACUCUUUUAUCAUAUUUGUUUGGUGAGCGUGAAAUUGCGUUGAAAUAGGAUGAAGGAAAAAAAAAGGUAUAAUUUAAAUGUAUGCGGUGGAGAUAUUGAAUCAAAUCCCUUUUAAUGAUGUUACUUAAAAUCUUAUUUUCUAAAAUCGUAUUUUAAAUUUAUAUUUUAUAAAAAAAUUAUUUCAAAAUAAUUUUUAUUUAAUUCAUGUAUUAUUUCGAUAGCUCAUUUUUUACUAAUUGAACCCCAUGUUUGUCCUAUAUUCGGAUGAAAUGAAGAGAAGAGAGAAAGCGAAAAUGAGAGAAAAAAAACAAAAAGAAAACAAAAAUUAGUAGAAAAUAAAAAUUAUUUAAAUUAAAAGAAAGAGAAUGAAAAUUUUAGAAAGUAUAAUAAAUUUAUUGAUUAUUUUAUAAUUAUUUAUCAUUGUUAGGAUAGAAAAAACAAAAAAAGCAAUACUUAUAAUAGAUUAUGUUUUUCCUUGGAUAAUCGUUUAUGGGGUUAGUUUACACUUUUAAUUAUUAAAAAAAUCAAUAAAAUAAUCAAUUAUAUUUAUAAUAUACGUAUUUUCAUAAAAUUAAAAAGAAAAAAAAAACAUUAUUACCUAUAAUAACGUUAAGAGGUAAACGUAUACAUCAACCUCUUCAUUCUGUUACGGCAAAAAAUAUUAAUGCUUUAAUUUCAAGUUCUCAGAGAUAACAUUAUUACCGUCAACACUUCAGAUGUUGUUCUCUUUAAAAUUUAAUACAGAUCUUUGUCAUCGAAAUACACUUUAAUGUACCAAUAGGUAUAUAAAAUACCUUUGAUUUUAAACAUUACUACAAAUCAACCAAAUUUACGAAUUACUUUAACGUCAUCGGAAGUUUUUAUUUUCACUCAGAAUUUUAAACAUGUCUCUUUCUUUUUUCUAUCUUAAUUGAAUUAUUAUUUUGUAAAAUUAAAUCAAAUAGAAACUUUCCGUCAAAUUGAGAAGAUACCGUUAAAAAGGAUAUUAGGUGACAUGCUGAGGGUAUUAUUUUAGAUAACGUGACAUUUUAUACAUAAUUGUAAUGUGUAUUUUAUAACUUUUAAAUUAAAAAAUUAAGGACAAAUUGGAAAAAAAAGAGUUAAAAAAUGCUCUUUUCUCUCUGAGGAAUGAAAUUAUGGUUCCUUGGAGAUAGGCAAAACACAAUUUAAGAGUUUUCUGCAAUGGAGUUAAUGCGGUUUGUAUAUUGUUUUCUUUUUGGAUAAAGAGUUUAUUUUUUGUAAUUUUACUUAUGAAAUCCAGAUACACAUUAAUUACAAGUUAUCACGAUUCUUAAUAUGGAAGAAAAAAAGUAUAUUGCUCGUAAAUGUCAUCUCUCAGUUUUUAAUGUUUUUGAUGGUCUAGUUGAUGGAAUAUGCUUCACUUGGUUGUGCAGAAGUCGUGGGAACAUAGAGAUUAGAGAGAAGAAAUAGGUUGAUAAAUAAAAAAUGUGGUAUAUUUAAAAGAGGGAAACCACAUCAGAACAAUCCACCAAAACCCUAAAUCCAUAGUCAGCCACCACACCGUUCAACCACCAUCGCAGGAAAACCAUCAGAACCACGUUGGACCUCCGUUCACUUCAAAUGCAUCUCGCAACAGCCACCAGCACUGGAAAAACCAUUGUGAGCUUGCAUCAUCCUCACUGAACUACCUCGCGAGCCAUGUGUGAAGGCUCCAUCACAAUGCGAACCAGAUCUCUGCACCAGAGUCACACCACCACGAAACAAAAACAACACCAUCCCCAGCCCCAAAACUCCUCUGCACAAACCCUAAUCGCGAAAGAUAUGACCGCGCCGGAAAGGAGAUCGAAAUCGCAAGCCAUCAACAGAGCAACCCAAACCCGACGAACAAAAAUGCAAACAACUCAAAAUCAGAUUGUUCUUUGCAAUUGAAAUCAGAGAAGGGAGCAACCUUUAAUUUCUUUCUCAAUUUACCCUCAAUUUUUUAAUUUAGAAAUUGCAAAAUACAUGUCACAAUUAUGUAUAAACUAACACAUCAUUUAAAACAACACCCUCAGCAUGCCAUGUAAUACCGUCUUUAACGACGUCUUCUCAAUUUGAUGGAAAAUUUUUAUUUGGUUCAAUUUUACAAAAAUAAGGACCCAAUUGAGAUGCCGAAAAAAAAGGAACCUAUUUAAGAUUCUAGAUGAAAAUAGAAACAUAUGGUGACAUUAAAUCUAUAAGUUAAAAUCAUGAAUUGAGGUGUAUACUUUUAAAGAUUUUUAAUAUCAAACUAAAUCAUUUUUAUAAUACUCAGACUUAGUUUUUCAACAGUAAUUAUAUAACUUAGUAAAUUUUGUACAUUCACAACUUAGAAAUUGUACGAGUAAAUAUUAAAAAAGAUAUUAAUUACAAAUUGGGAGUAGUUUUUUAAUGUGUAAAUAGUUUUUUUUUUUUUUAUAGAGAACAUUAAUUAUAGCAAAAACUUAUAAAUACAUGUCACUAUAUAUACUCGCUAAAACACUGAUGAACUGACUCGCAUCUCAACCCAUAUUUACAAAAUAACUUAAAACAAACCCGUUAAGUAUAAGUAAAUUUGUAGAAACAAUUAGUUUUAUGCCUACUGGUGCUAAAAUAGUACAGCGACAUACACUGAAAAAUGUGAGCAGAAAAUAAACCAGAGAUUUAAACUUAUUAAAAUAUUGCUGACCUAGCAAAAAAACACCACGAGGAUUACGUAUAUGAAUCAAAUUUUGUAAUUAAAACAUUAUUUUUAGGAGAAAAAAAGGUUAAGGAAUAAUGAAUCCAACAUUUAUAAAAAAAGAAACUUUUACAAAUAAACUACAGAUAAUUAAAAUUAGAUGUUACUGAAUUAAUAGGGUAUACCAAUUAGGGAGAUAAUAUCUUGUUCUCUAGGCUUUAUUAUGUAAAUAGAAAAUGUACAUUUAGCUUUUCUUUUCACAUUUCCCUUUUACACCAUGUCAUGUCACUCAUUAUUUUGUAAAUAGAAAAUGUUUCUUUAUCUUUCUUCUUUUUAUGCCAUUAACCCUAAAAUUUAGUAGCAGUAUGUGCUUCCAUCCGAGCCAAUCAGUAGAUGCAAUGCAAUGGAUUCGCCAUUUUCGGAAUUCGGUGCCGUGACUAACGUUGCUUUGGUCUUUUCCCAUACCAGCAAAAACUGAACUUUGCUACAAACACUGCUACUACAGUAUUACUCGAAAACAGUGAUGUAAGUAACCCAUUCAAAACCUGUCAAUUUUGGUGCAGUAAAUACAAAGAGUGAAACUUUGACCAGUGCCUUGGCCUUAACCAUCCCAUUCAACUGUUACAAAAUCUACCGUCACAUUAUGCCAGGUUUGCUCAACGAUUAGACCAUCUACCACACUGCAUUAAAUUUUUCUCAACUACCACCGAACCAAAGCCUGUCACAACCACUUGUGUAUUUGUGCUCACAAAUUCCUUGUCAGAAGAGGAUCAUGUACAUGUAAAAUUAUGCAGAAAACUUUUUUUUGAGGAAAAUAAAAUUUUAACACCAUUUUUUGACACCAUUUUAACACUGCACACGUGUCAAAAUAUGGUUGGACGAUUUCAAAUUAAAAAACAAACUUUGGUUUUUUUCUUCCAAACAUACCCCUGUCUCAACUUUUUUAAUUUGAAAUCGUCCAAUCACAUUUUGACACGUGUACAAUGUCAAAAUAUUUUAUUUCUUAAUUUUUAAAUCACAAUAAUUAAAUUAAUUAAAGAAGAACAGAAGUCGUAACCAUAUUUAGUUACGAUGAUGGCCAACCUAAUAACUUCUUAGUACUAUCUCAUGCUCUAUAUAAACCCUACUCUUGUCCAACUUUACUUACCAAGCACUAAGCAAGAGACUCACCAAAACCAAACAUAUAUUGUGAUACUUUCCUUCUCAUUUGUUCCUCUGAUCUGUGGCGAUGGCUAGCCUGAAGGUUGCAUGCAUGGUUGCGGUGGUGUUCAUGGUCGUGGUGAGUGCACAUAUGGCACAUGCGAUCACGUGCGGGCAAGUGGCCUCUUCUUUGGCUCCAUGCAUCUCCUACCUCCAAAAGGGCGGAGUUCCGUCGGCGUCGUGUUGCAGCGGAGUGAAGGCCCUGAACAGCGCCGCAAGUACCACCGCUGACCGCAAAACCGCGUGCAACUGUCUGAAAAACCUUGCCGGUCCAAAGUCGGGUAUCAACGAGGGCAACGCCGCUUCACUCCCAGGCAAAUGUAAAGUCAACGUGCCCUACAAGAUCAGCACCUCCACCAACUGCGCUAAGUAUGUUCAACACACCACUUAUUUCCUCACACAUUUCUUUCACUAACAGCCUCAUUGCGCUAAUUACUCUAAUUAAUUCACAUACUCACAGGUCUUAGCUACUUGUGUUCUACUUAAUUAAACGGUUCAGAGUUUCUGAUGAUGAUACCCUUGUUAAAUAUAGUAACUUUAGAUCACAAUUACACUCUCUCUAAUAUAUCUCAACACAUUUCCAGAAAAAAGAAAACAUUUUUGCAGUUAGAUGUAGGAGAAGAGAUCAAUGGUUAAGGUGUCCACAUUUACUGUGUAAACGUAUUUUAAAAAUUAUUGCUCCUGAAAAUGCUUUCCAUUUUUUUGUUUAGUUGUUUCUUUUUACUAUCCAUAUCUAAGAAUUUGGAGGAGACUCUCCAAGGAAAUAUAUUGCUAAGAUGUUUAAAAUGUUGACUUUUUAUUUGUCAUUUAGCACUGCAUAAGAAAUCUGUUUAUAUAAACAAACGACAUAAAUAAGAAAAAAGAUAAUGUUUUGAAAGAUAAGGACCACAAAUAUGCAUUCUCAUUAAUUAGAGGACAGAGACUCUGUAAACAACAUGUUCAAUGUAUUACAGGAAAGACUCAGUUAACAAACUGACUUAGACUUAUGUUCUACUACUUUAUAGAUGAUAAACCUAAUGAAGUUGAGUUAUACCUGAAAGUGUAUUUAACCUCCUUAAUGGUUAGUUAAAAUUUCUUGAGAGUUUUCUGAUAAAUAGUUAAAAAUAUGUUGUGAAGUUGUAGAACUAGGAUCUUGCAUUCAUUUUUUAAGUAUGAAAGUUUGAUGGUUAUGUUUAAGCUGAUGUGUUUGAUGGUUUGUGAAAUAUUGCAGCAUCAAGUAAAAGAUGGAUAUGGUAAAAGGAAGAGAUGGCAAGGAGGGAAAUUUUUCAGUGGCAGAAUAUAUGAUAGUACCGUAGACAUAGGUAAUGAAAAAUAAAGGGAAGCCGACGAGGGCUCCACUUGUGCGAGUCUCUCUUGGUGUCGGUGUGUGUCCCUUAGUUGUUUCAAACGUUGUUCCACUUUUGUUAUGUCUUCUGAAAUUUGUCUCCGUCCGUUGGUUGUUUCAUGUAAUAAUGAUAUAUAUUAUAGCACUGUAAUUCCUUCCUACUUUUCCUUUUAUGAUUUUUCGUAUUGGUCUUAAUGGUUCUUCUCACCCAAUCUAUGUUU
This 44731-nucleotide long non-coding RNA is filed under the name Vigna radiata. RNAcentral describes it as "long non-coding RNA (VRAD_LNC013710)". Lineage: Eukaryota; Viridiplantae; Streptophyta; Magnoliopsida; Fabales; Fabaceae. The record is from RNAcentral.